This 47489-nucleotide long non-coding RNA is filed under the name Medicago truncatula (barrel medic). Its description in RNAcentral is "long non-coding RNA (MTRU_LNC005945)". The record is from RNAcentral. Lineage: Eukaryota; Viridiplantae; Streptophyta; Magnoliopsida; Fabales; Fabaceae.
CCGUGCAGACUGGAAUGGCACAGUGAGUACUUUAUUUCCUUUACAUACUUGUAUGGAAGAUUAUUAUUGUAGAUUGAAUUGAAAGUUGUUUAUAUUGUCUUAUUUUUAGUGAUAACUGUUGUAUACUCUGUCUGCAUGAUAGAAAUGUAAUUUAAAUUGCACAACAUCAACACAUUAAUAAUAACUACAAAGAUCUGGCAGGCCCUUCUUUAUACUGUCAUUUGUUAUAUGUACUUGCUUCUUGCAUAUAUGCCUUUUACUGGGAGAAGUGAGAUUGGAUGGGUAGUAUAAUUGACCUGCUUAAGAAUGAGUAUAUGUCUCGUUAUCACAUGCGGGGAUACCUUGAUUAACCAAAAACUGAAUAUAUGUGAAAAACUUUCUUCUCAGCUCUUUUUUAUGCUUGCUUUUGUUAUGAAAUCCUUCUCCAUUAUCGGAUAUUCUUCUCAUAUUAUGGACCUAUGACAUCAAAAUCAUUUGCUCCAAUUCUAACCAAGACUACUAUUUAAAGAGGUUAGGGAAGUUAUAUUUUAAAUCGUUGUUAAAUUCCAUGUAAGUCUGAAUAGAUGAAAGAAGGAAACAAAUAAGGGUGAAAAGCCUAUGUCUCUUGCAAGGCUAAUAAAAUCUCAAAUCAUUUUUCUUGGUUUACUUUCUUCAUACCAGAAGCUUUUGCCCUGAAGGUAACAAGUUCUUGUCUCUGAUUUUCUGAAUAUCAGGAGGUUGCUGUGAAGAAAUUUUUGGAUCAGGAUUUUUCAGGCGCUGCCUUGUCUGAAUUCAAAAGAGAAGUAAGCACUAUUUAGGCUUUUUGCAUGCAACAAUUUUUUUUCUUAUUUGCAUAAAAUAAAUAGAAAGGAAACUGUGAAUCCUUGUGAACUUUAAGAAAUUAUUAUGUUUCUUUCCAAAUGACUAAUCAGAGGUUUAGAUUGAGAUACCAAUCAGAAAAAAGUUUCGAGGGAGUGAAUAAUGUGUAAGAAAUGCAAUAAUAAAAUGAAAGGCAGUGAUUAUGUAAGGAAGGUUCCACCAUCGUUAUGUCUGUUAAGGCCAAAGUUAAUCUGUUUUCCAUCCUUUUGUUGCAAGGUACGGAUAAUGCGUAGGCUGCGUCAUCCAAAUGUUGUUCUUUUUAUGGGUGCUGUCACCCGGCCGCCUAACCUCUCAAUCAUUUCAGAGUUUCUCCCAAGGUAGAUAUAUUUUUGCUUUUUCCAUCAUCAUUUUUUUUAAACAUAAUAAUGGUACUUCAUAUAAGCCACAUUGGUCUUUCAAGUUACUCUUUCCGUAUUUGAGUGUCACACUGACAUUACUGUUAAUUUUUUUACAGAGGAAGCUUGUACCGAAUUCUUCAUCGGCCAAAUUGUCAGAUUGAUGAGAAACAAAGAAUAAAAAUGGCUCUGGAUGUGGUAUGAAAUAAUUAUCUAUCUUCCCUGUCAACCAUUAUAUAUACAUUGAUGAACUUCAAAUUUUAGAACAUCCCAAUUUACAGGCUAGGGGUAUGAAUUGCUUGCACGCCAGCACACCUACAAUUGUUCACCGAGAUCUGAAGUCCCCAAAUCUUUUAGUUGAUAAUAAUUGGAAUGUUAAGGUAUACGAUUGAAAAUUCACUGAGUUGUUCCGUUUGCCUUGUGUAUGUGAAGGCUAUUUUCCUGUGGUUUGUGGUUUUUCGUUUUCUGGACAUCUAUUGAACUGUGGAGAAAUCAAUUUCAGUGCUAAGUGGAUUUUACUUUUAUGAUAGCUAGCCGUUGUUUCUACAGGUAUGCGAUUUUGGGUUGUCAAGAUUGAAGCAUAACACAUUUUUAUCAUCCAAAUCAACUGCUGGAACGGUGAGAAUUAAGAAAAAUGUUUUAUUCUGGAGCUCAUUUGUUUAGUCGCAUGCGAUAUGUGCCUUAUCUGUCUUUUGUAUACCUGACAUGAUGAUCGUCAACUUGUUAGCCGGAAUGGAUGGCUCCUGAAGUUCUCCGCAAUGAGCCUUCGAAUGAGAAGUGAGUUGUUAUUAAUUCAAGAUAAAGGUCUUUUCUGGAUUGUAAUUGUUAUUUUAUAUCCUAUCUGUGCAAUCAAUAUUUGUUUAUGAUUAGUGGCUAAAUCUUUACCGAGUCUAUAAUGUGGAAGGUAUUAAGCUAGUCCAGCCUUCUCCUAACAAUAAAUAUAUCAACUGCUUCAUAGCUCAAAAUUGGUUCAGUGACAGUUUUUAAUAGGCUUUUGCUGGAUGGAAAAUAUUUUUUCCCGAGAUGCUGCAUUGACAAUUUUUUUAUGGUUUGCCAAUUCAUAGUGAUUCCCUUUUUCAUUCAAUGAAUUAUAAAUUUCUCCUUCAAUAAACAAUGUUGUAAUGGCCGUUUGUACCAAAUGAUCUUAAAUAAGUGGAAUUUCACUUUUCCAUGUUUUUUGUGAUAAAAAUUUAAUUCUUGGUAGACUGCAGUUUGAGAAGGAUGAUGCCUAAAUUUCUGAACAUUUAUACACACACACACACACACACACACUACACACUAAUUUAUUUUUCUACUCUGCUUUCAACAACAGCUGUUUCUUCAGCGUAUCUCUGUUAAUUAUCAUUUCAAAUGUGCAGGUGUGAUGUUUACAGUUUCGGUGUUAUCCUAUGGGAGCUUGCCACUCUUAGGUUGCCAUGGAGUGGAAUGAAUCCUAUGCAAGUUGUUGGGGCCGUAGGUUUCCAAAAUCGUCGCCUUGAAAUUCCUAAGGAACUUGAUCCUUUAGUUGCAAGAAUAAUCUGGGAGUGUUGGCAACAGUAAGUCUGUUCGACUUGAGGUUUGAUUUACUCUUCUUUUCCUCUAUAUUUCUUCACUUCAAAUGUUGAGGAAAAUGUGGAUUUAAACUUUAUUUCCAUUUGAUGACCUUUUUCUGUUUCCUCUCUCUCUCUCUCUCUCCCACUCUUGUGUCAGGGAUCCAAAUUUGCGCCCCUCCUUUGCACAGCUCACAGUGGCUCUUAAGCCCUUGCAGCGUCUGGUUAUCCCAUCUUAUCAGGACCAGGUAGCUUCACCUCUGCCUCAGGAGAUUUCUGUAAAUUCUACCCCAUGAAAAAUCUCCCUUUUCUAAAGUGUGAAUAACUAGGAUUUCUGCAUAGUACUCUUGUGCGUAUAAAGGUAACAAGCAAAAUAAAAUGAAAAAAAAGAGAGAAGAAAAUCAGCUAAACUUGUAACGGCAAAGUUUCAAUUAUUGAGGAAUGCAUCAAAUUGUCAAUUGCUGCUGCAGCCAAACAACUUUGGAGCGAUUUUUUCAUUGUGUUGAUACCUUGUCCGAGGAAUCAAAACUCGGUAAUAUAAUGUGUAAAUUACUGUACUCAAGGAUCGAAAUGGUUUCUUGUAAAGAAAAGAGGUCUCUAAAUUGUUCCUACCAAAAAAGAAGUCUCGAAAUUGUCUUUGUUAAAAAUGUUUUGCGCUGAAAAUCUUGAAUUUAGUGUAGUAGUUUUUGUUUGACAUUUUAUCUUGUGAUGGUAUUUUCGAUGAAGUUAUUAACAUCCUUUUCCAUGUGAGGGUUGAGUUACCAUGAAGAGAUAGUCAGAUUAAAGAAAAACAUGAAUAUAAUGAAGCAUGCACUAUAAUCUCUUCAAUUUUUCAUGACUUUGAUGUUAGCAAAUUUAUAUAUUUAAUCUGGAGGAUAGAGAGCUGAAAAAAAAACCUUACUUAAAUUUAGGCCUCUACAUGCAUAUACUAUUUUUCUCAAUGUCUCUCAAAGGACUCUAUCCUUUUUCAAUGACUUGUUUGUUCCAUAGGGCACAGAAAGCUUGUAGUCCAUGUUUAAAAGACGGGAUAGUUAUACAAUUGAUAAAGGUGUUCAGCCAGUUCCUUGGUCAAGUAUGAUUCAAUUUGGUAGUAAAUAAUUUUAUUUUAUAUAAUACUAGCGUACAUAUGGUCGUUAUUUCUGAAGAAAAUUAGUCUUAACGUUGUGGAUAAAAUUCUAUAAGUUCUUAUUGUUAAGAUGAGGUAAGGAGGGAGGACUAAUAUGUGGUUUAAAAUUUAGAUUAUGAUUAAAUCAAAUUUUGAUUUGAUGGAAUUAUAAUAGAAUUUGAUUAUUUUAAUAGGUAAAAAGUAUAAAAUUUUAAAUAUAAUAUAAGAAUAAAGGCUAAAAUUGGAAGAGAAACGAUAAAUCAAAACUUUGCAUUCCGUAUCAGUGUAGAUGUAAAUCAAUUUUUUUAAAAUCCAAUCGACCCUUAAAUUAAUAUAAAAUGAUUAUAUUGUAUAUUUUAUGAGAUUAAGAAUAACCGAUUUUGCGAAAGGGACACUAGACUUAACAAUUUUAUGAGAUUUGAACCCGGACACCAAAAAAAAAAAGACUUAAAGAAUUGAUUAAUCAAUGUUUGAGCUUCAGAAUAAUUUUCAAAUAGAAUUUCAUGUACCGAAAAUAAAAUUGAAAAAGCAAAAAUGUAGAAUAAUUAAUCAAUGUUUGAGCUUCAGAUUACUCAAUGUGUUUGUUUUAAGUUAUUUUGUAGAUGCUUACGUUUUUUUACGAGUUUAUUAAAUUUUAUUUUUAGAUUUAAAAUAUUCUAGAAAAUAGAAGAAUUUCUUUUUAAAGAAAAGGGUGGGAAUAUUUGAUUUAUAUAUUCCAUGAAGAUGAGAGUAAUUUUAUGUAUAACUACCUUUUAUUCUCCUUAUUAUAAAAGUUGUUAUGAAUAUUUGUAUACUAACUAAACCUCUUUUUUAAAAAUACUUUGGAAUAAAUAAUUUGUCUUUAUAUUUCCAGGAAAGUUAUUCUUAGGAAUGAAACGAACGCCCCCAACAUAUUAAUGUUGCCUUAAAAAAAAUGUUAGCAUCAUUAAUUAGUCGCUUCUCUCAUUCCGGUGUGUGGUCACAAGUUUACAUUUUUUGGUCUGGGCUCAAGAUGCCGGGGGUCGAACCUGCAACAACUAAUUUUUACAUGACUAGUGUUGUGGUGUGAUCAUGGCACAUGUUUACAUUUCUUAUCGAACUUAAAUGUCACCAAAAAAAAAAAUAUCGUGAAAUAAUUCCAUUCAAAGAAAGUGAAAGCGAAACAGAAAACGGCAAAGUAAGUUAGUUGUUUUCUUAACUAAGAAGUUAUUAAAACGGCAAAGCUGGGAUCCAAAUUCCUAACUAUCCAUUUUGCAAGUUGAUCAAAAGAAAACAUGACAUACAUCAUAAUAAUGCCCCUUAUAUAGGAAUUUUAGCAACACACUUACAUUACAAAAUCCAUGCUACUAUAUAGUCAAGCCUGAAAAACUGUUGUAUUCAUAAUUCCUUUUAAAGGUCUGUGACAAACUUAGCUAAAAGUUAGUUGCCACUAAAUAAGUUUUCAUCACAUAAGCAAAUUACUAUAAGGACCCAAAAUGCUCAAAAACGAAAAAAGACCAUGUUAAACAAGUAAUUAACAGAUACCUACCACACCCCAAGAAAACAUACAUAUUAACACACCUUUGGCUACCAUUUGUUAAAGACAAGUGAAAGGAGUUUAACAUUCAACCACUUGAUAACAUUAGCAAUAUAAGAUGUCUUGUAACCCUUAGAUCAGGUUAGACAUCCUUCUUCUAUGACGACACAAUGUUACUCUCAAAUUUGAAUCUGACGAUGUAACCAUUGUACUUCGAGGAGUUGAGACUUUUGAUUCCAAUUCAUUGCAAUUAGGCCUUUCUGUAUGAAUGGUAUUUGGAACAUUACUUGUUUCAGCAUGCCGAGAUUUUCCAAUUCCAGUUGAACUUCGCAAUAUUGCUUUGAUGCGAAGAUCUGAAUAACUUAAUGAUUGAGAAGAUGGAAACUGGAUUGAAUUUCUGGUGACCACUGAUCUUAAACUUUUUGUUCUCCCUCCAAUUUCUUGCUCAGAAGCAAUUUGCCUAUGCCGACUAGCAACAGUUGAACUCAUGAAUCGAGGCACUGAAUUGGAGACACUUCUUGGAGUAGACUUCUUAGAUGCUUUAGGAGUUUCGGUGACCUCUUUGAAAUCAUCUUUGAGGCUAGAAGAGGUUACCAAGUCAUCACUUUCCUGAAGAUUAUAUGUGGCUGAAAAGAGCUUUUUAUUCUCGCAUAACUUUAACUCAACAUUCUGUAUUUGAUCACCUAAACUCUGACGUUGUUUUUCAGCUUCCUUAAUGUUUUCCUCGAGCUCCAUAAUCUUCAUCUCCUUUUGUUUCUUCAAUUCCUGCAUUACAUGUAUGCAGUAAUCAAUGUUCAAACAGUUUCCACUGAGAAACUUGGUUUAGGACAACUUUUAUCAAGUUUACCAUGGGCACUUCUUUAAUGGACUCUAUUGCUCUUGCUCUCUUUGCAAAGUUUAAAGAACAAAUCGUCUCGCAAACAUCUUCUUCAGAUGGGCUAAUAUGCACAAGCAUCAAGACCUUCGAGCCAUCACCUUAAGUAUUUCAUGAUAAAAAUCAGACAUUUUAAUAUAAACGUUCCAUAUCACAUUUGCACAUGCACGUUCUUAUUCGUCUCAGUUUUUCACUAUUCUGCAUACUAAAGUUCGUAGUAUUAGAGAAGAAAGCAGUAUCAUACCAAGAGAAUCUCUCAGUAGUUGGGUCAGCUUGCUAUUUCUGCAAACAAAGUAACAUAAAAUUAUUAAUUUGGAUGAACUGGCAGUAUAAAACUUUCACACUGUUAACUAAUAACAAAUUAUAUUUUGCAUGGCCUUUAAAGUAGUUAUGAACUAAUGAUCAAUGUCAAACAGUUUUAGUAAUCUGACGAAUAUGAUUGAUUGAGAGUGUAUAACUUUUAUUACACAAACAAUGCAUAUCACUUAAAUCCUAUUUUAAUUGUCUAGCCGUCUUAGGCAUGAUUCACAUAAGAGACAUAAUUAAACAUGAGGAAUCAACACCAGUAUAAAACUUGCCUGUAAGGUACAUGACUCCUCUUUCUCUUCAAAGCUGCAAGGACAUCAGCUAGAGCUGAAAGAGAAAGAUUAAUAGCUCGGCCUUCAUCAAGUGUUAGUCCUCUGGCCCCAGUUUUUAGCAACCGCUCGCUGCCUCCAAGAUCAACCAUCCACAAUUUACUUGUUUCGGUUUUGGCUUCUGAAGUAUCCCCGCGUCUAAAUAUGCUUAUCCUUGUCAAGCUAGAUAUAUAAAGCUAAACAGAUAAUGUAACUAUCAAGCUGAGAAAACCGUGAAAACAUUUUAGAGCAUCUAAUUAGAACUAUGACUCACCAAUGUGAUCUGCUUGAUGCUUCAUUUACAUUAGUCCACGACGUGGAUCUGCAUCGUCUUCCCUUGUUGUACCACCAUUUGGCUUUAGCACAAUCAGAAAUUUGCACUUCUGAGAGACCCUCAAUUUCCACCAAUCCCUUUGGAUCAGUUUGGAUGUUGAGAUUGCUGUAGGCAGAGUCUCAAACAAAUUACCCUAUGAAACUCAAUCAUACAUAAUAGUGUACAUUUUGUUCCACUUUUGAAAAAGACAAAAUUGAUUCAAGAGGUUCAGAAAUAAUUUUGACGUAUUUGGAUGUUCUAAGUAGAAUUGGUUUUUGAUUCUAACUUGAAGUUAGAAUUUGAAGUUUUUGGCUCUACGAUUGAUUUUUAGCCUCAAAUUUGUUGUCCAACCCGCUUUUAUAUGAAUAUUUCUAAACAUAAAUAAAUCAUUUUACAUCCAUCUCACUUUUAGCCAUAAUCAAAUCAAAGAAUCAGGUCAUUCAAAAUCAAUUUUUGUCACUGCAGAACAAAACGCGCAGAAAAGUUUUAGUGAAAAUAGCAAAAAGUUACCUAUUUGCCAGAGGUUGGUGUGGUCUACAAGAUUGUCUGGGAGCCAGCAGAUCCCUGACAUUGCCCAUGUAAACUUCCAACAUACUCAUUGAAAAAGUAAAAGAAGAUGAACCAUCCAUGGAUGCUUGACGAAAGAGCUCUUCGAGAGCACGAGGAAUAAUCCCUGGCUGCUCAUUUGUACCAUCCUAAAAUUAAUCAUAGCAGAAGCCAACAUGCAUAUUAGAUAAUAGCUAUGCUGCUACACAAGCACAAACUUAGCAGUAUUAUUAUUUAGCACAUGAGCACAAAAUAUCAAUAUGACUGACCAUGGUGAAUGUCUUUCCUGUGCCUGUUUGACCGUAAGCGAAAACGCACACAUUGUGUCCGUCCAUUGCAGAUCUUAGAAUCGGCUCGACAUCAACAAAAACACUUUCUGCAGAUGUUCAAACAAUAGUAAACACAGACAUUUCCACAUCAGUAAAAUUUGGUGCUUCAAUCAAAUAAUUAAAAUUGGGAAGCAAAGACAAUGAUUUUUUAUACUAGCCUUGGCUUGCUUCUUGAGGAAAAACCUUAUCAAACUCAAAAUCUUUCCUUGUUCCUCCAAACUUAACCCGAAUUCUCUCGGAUCCAGCUGAUACAGGUUCAGAAUUUCUUCUCUUUUCGGUCAAAUGAACCGGUCGAAUUCUACAAAACACUCUAAUGCUCCCUGAACAUCAAAAUAAAAUUAUUCAACCCUUUAAUCAAAAUAACAUAACAGAAUUUUAAUCCAUACAUCAACAUAUAAUAGAAUCCCCAAUCAACACUACAAGAACUACCUUUUAUAUCCAAUAUCUUACUCAGUGCUUCUCUCCUCUUUUCAUCCACUUUUCUCUGCUUCAGCCUCAGCUCCUCAACUUCUUCUGCACAAAACAAAAUCAGCAACAUUUAUUUCACAUUUGAUUCAACAAAAACCAAAAUGAAAAAAAAUAUAAAUAAAAUAUGUAACUUUGUUUAUUUAUAUACAUACUUUGCAAAUUGGAUAUGAAGUGUUGAAGCUCAUUCUUUUGUUGCUCAGGCACAACUCCAACAUCAGUGAAAACAGUCGAAACCGGUAACGACCCAUCAACUGAAUCUGACUUAGAAACCUCAGUUUCAUUUUCUGAAAACACCUCAAUCUUUUCUUCUUCAUUACAAACCAUCAUUUCUUUUUCUUUUUUUUUCCAACAGACACCUAUUUAUGGUAAAGUGAAGUAAAGUUGAAAACCUCGUACACAAGACAGACACUGAUUGAACAGUAAAGGAAACAAAACAAUCACUGCUUCCUCGUACUACACAAAUCUAAGAGAGAUCUGUUCUGUUACUGACUCAUCAUAGAAAGUAACGAACUAUCAUAUCAUAGAUUGCAAAUAAAUUGGUCAACAUGUAAAAAUAAAAUAAAACUAAAUAAAUAAAAUGAUGCAAAUAUACUUGUUUGAAUGAAACUUGAAAGUAGGUGAAAUAUAGAGAAGUUUCUAGAGGUUGAAACUAGUGAAUAUGUAAACUAGUCAUGCAACACGACAAGAAUCUAUAACAACAUAAUGAAGCAUGCGUUAUGAUGAAGUUAUUAUUGUUGUUAAAAGGAAAAAAAACAUUAACCGUGAUUCUUGUAACGUGAACUAAAAACCACAAAUAAAAAUAUAAAAAGUGGGAAGGUGUGCUAGGGAUCAAGGUUGAAAAUUGAAAUUCAAACAACACAACCACCACCUCGUGAAAAUUCAGGAGUACCAGAAAAAAAUAUAGUAUUAAAAAAAUAAAGUGUUGGUGGAGAGUUAGUUUCAAUGAUUGAACACUUUCAUGUUAUUGGAAAUAAAAUAUGAUUGAUUGAACACUCUUAUCUUGUGGACCGUGACUGUGAUUGAACAUACUUCUACGGAUAUCAUAUUAUUGUGUCUACUUGAGAUGUUUUCUUAAGAAUUAAUUAAGUAAAUCAUUAUCUUUUUCUACUUUCAUGUUAUUGGAAAUAAAAGACAAUGAUUUAUUUACUUAACUAAUUUUUAAAAAUGAUAAUAAUAUGUUAAGACUAAAAUAUUAAUUGUGCCAAAAAUAUUCGCAUACUUAGUUCAUUAAUAUUGAUUCAUCAUAUAAAUGCGACUAUUUUAAUAAAUAGGAAUAAAAUUGAAAAAAAAAUGUUAAAUUUUUUAUAUUGGGUGGGAAUACGAUUCUUUAACUAGAAAAGUUGUUUGAACAUUCCAAAAGUUAUCCAACAUUGUAUUUUUAUUUCUCUGUUUUUCAAUCAAAUUAACAAUUGUUUUUGACGUAUUUAUAUAUGGUUUUUUUUUUAAGGAACAGUGUUUAUAAUGAUUGUUUCAUAAGUUGACAAUUUUUAAUUGUUCAAAUAUCAUUACUCAUUUUUAACUCUAUCGUUAAUCCACUAUAUCAUUUUUAACAUUCACGAUUUUAUUUUGUGAAACACGCGUGGUUCCUUAGUUUAUGUGAGCUUUAUUUUUAAAAUGUGAAAUCUACGUUAAUUUCAAUUAUAUAAAAGAAGAAGAAGUAUCCCCUCGCGUGAACUUCACAAUUGAGAGGGUACAUUGAAAAUCUAUACCAUUCAAUCAAGUUUUUUUUUUGUACAACCAUUCAAUCACUUUACAUUAAAGGGUCCCGCAUGGAUUAGUGAAAAUAAAUUUGUUCAGAUUUAACUGAACUCUUCAGCGACAUGAGAGAACUUGAUCCCAUAAAAUGUUAAAAAGAGAGUAAUGUUGAUAUUAGAUAAUGUAUAUAAAAAAAGGGAAAUAUUAACGAGUGUUCCGGAAUACUCGUUAAUAAGAGGAAAAAGAAAAAAUAGUGGUGUAGGAAUAAUUUUGGUUGGUCGAGAUGUUGAGCUUGAACAAAUUGAAGUGUAAAGUUGUGUUUGGGAGUGGGAGGGAGCGUGAGGAGUGGAAUCGAAGUGUAAAAUAUGUUUUGGUUUUGGUUUUGGUUUUGGUUGGUUGGUUACACACAUUUCACUGCCUGUGUCAGUGUGUUUUUUUUUCUUGUUUAUUUUGAGCAAUACUUUGACUAGACGCAAGAAGGAACGUGGUUGGUCCAUCCUUUCUUCUGCAUUUAUUUCAAACAAAAGAAAUUCUUUAUUUAUCCAAAACAAGGCUGGCAUACGCUAGGGGGGAACGUGCUUGGUUCUUCAUUUCUGCCAAUAUGUGGGGCCUCUCUCUCUCUCUCGCAAGGUGGAUUCCUUACACCGGUGCUUCCUCGUUUAUGGAGUACUAUUCACAAACAUAGACAAUUUUCUUAAAGUGAAAACAAGUGUUAGGUUUAAGAAAGGGAAAUGCUGAAGAAUUUAAAUAGUUUUUUCUUUUGAGAGGAAAUAUUUUAAAUAGUUAGUUUUUAUAAAAAAAAAUAAAGUAUAUUUAAUGUAUUGGACUUGAGGUAUUUGAUUUUUUUUUUAAAUUGAAUUUUUAAUUUGAAAUCUUUAAAUAUUUUCAUGAGGGCACUCGUUAGCAAAAUUCUUUUAGAAAAUAGGGUGAUGGCUAAACACUUUCUUAAAUUAAGAAAGCUAAAAAAAAUAUAAUUUUAUAUCAAAAACAACAAUUUUUAAACUUUAAAAAUGUUAAAUUUCGUCACUUUUCAACGUAAUAUUUUUAUAUUUGUUUCCUUCAAUGCUCUACUACACCCACACUCUUUAGCACUUAGAAAUUAAAAUAUGUAUUUUCUUCCAUCUCGAAUAUAAGUAACAAAAAAGUUAGAUAUAAGCAAAUACAAACUACAUCUAUUUUAUUUUAUUUAAUGUUAUUAUUUCUAAAUUGUUCAUCCGUUAAUGUGAACUUUAUUUUUCAAUGAAACUUUUGCUUCUCAUUAAACAAGUUCUCAUGAGGAGAAAUUUAGAAAUUACUUCAAUCGUAAUUUUUUAAUAACCUUGAGAGAAUUCAAUGACGGCGUAUUUUUUAUAACCUUGGUGCAACAUACUUGUCUGGAUUAAAUCGGGUUCAUGUAGGCAAUGGUCAAGGUUUGUCAAUCACUUGCCUUUGGUUCAUGACUUUUCCCUCACCUUUCUAAUCUUACACCACUCCAAAAUUGAACAUUCUCUUACUUGUUACAUCUAUAACCAAGAAUAUCUAAUUAGUGUUUUGUGAAACGUUAUGAUUCAUCUAUAAGAAAUAAUAUCUAUACAACCAUUUUCUGACAACUUUUUAAUAAUUUUCUUUCUCAUACUCAAAUUAUACUAUUAUUCUCUCUCUUCUUUUCUCUCUCUCUCCAUCCAUUAUUUUUAACCAAUGAAAAGAGAGAGAAAAGAAGUUGUCACAAAAGUUGUAUCAAAUAGUUGUUCAAAUCCUUCUAAAAGGUAUUCUUGGGUAUGAUGGACUCAACAAAUAUGACAACAUGCCCUUUCCCAAAGUUCAAACUCUUUGAUAAAUUUGGGUGUACACUUAAGUCGUGUUUUCAAUUAUGCAUUGAGUUUCAAGAACUUCCUUUGUAAUAAAGAUAACAGUGUCAAUAAUAAUACUUCAUUACUUGUUCAAUCCACUCCUAGUCUAUAUCAAAUUUGGCAUUGAAGGUCAGGUUGCCCUCUUCAUGAUGUGCACAAGUAUGUACUAAAACUAAGGCUGGAAAUGAGUCGAGUCGAAUCGAAUCUGCCUGAGCUCGGCUCGACUCGAUAAGAAUUGGUUCGGCUCGAAACUCGGCUCGAGUUCGACACGAAUUAUUUUUUCAGCUCGAGUUCGGUUCGUUUAAAGUUCACGAACAGUUCGGUUCGGCUCGUUAGGUUCAGUUCGGUUGCUCAACUUGUCCAAAAAAAAAAAGUUAAUUUAUAGAUCUUUGAUAUUAUAUAUAUAUAUAUAUAUAUUUUAAAAUUAAAUAUUGAAUUAAAAUAAAAGUUCCCACAAGCAUGCAUAUAAUAGACAUAAAUUAUAUAAAGUUAAAGGUUGCAUAAUUACGAAGAAAAAUAUCUGAUACAAGUAACAGAGACAAAAAAUCAAACAAAAUUCAAUUAGCUGUGAACAAAAUUCAUAAUAUUAUUUUACUUUUAAACUCCAACUGCUCUUCCCUUCAAGACAAAAUUGUAUUCAGCCACAUUUGCCACAUUUGAAUUAAAAAAAUUUAAAAACUAAUUCAAAUUGAUUUAUAUAUAUAAUCGAUAAUCGAGUCAUCUCAUGAACCUAACGAGUCGAACUAUAUGUAGCUCAAGUUCAGCUCAUUUAAUUAACGAACUUAAUUUUCGGCUCAAGUCCAGCUCAUUAGGUUCAUGAACCAAGUUCGACGGAUUAAAUAUCGAGUCGAAUGUCGAACUAUAAUCGAGUUGGUUCGGUUCAUUGCCAGCCCUAAUUAAAAGAUUAUGAUGUGCAUGUUCUUGAUAAAAGCUUACUUUAUUUUUGCAAUCAUUGUUGUUUGGGCAAAGUCCAAAGGCUACCACUAAUGCAUAUAUUUCUUCCGAUACCAGCCCUCUUGAACUUAUUUUUCGUGAUUUGUGCGAUCUUGCCCCAAUUACAUCUUCCUGUGGAUACAUUUUUUUUUUUUUUACUUGUGUUGAUGCCUAUAAUCAUUUUUACUUGGGUUUAUCCCCUAAAAAUCAAGUCUCACACACUAUCGAAAUUCACACAAUUCAAAUCUUUGGUUGAUCUUCAGUUCAAUUUUAGAAUCAAGUUUGUUCAGACUAACGACGGAGACGAGUUUUGCCUCUUCAUCGGCUUUUUAAUCUCUCAAAACAUCACUCAUAGAAUUAUUUAUCCCAUAUACAUCAUCAAGAUGGUUCAUAGAGAGAAAACACAUACACUACUUUCCAAUACAUUUUGCUUGAACAUUCGAGUGUGCUGGAAAGCGUAUGACACAAAGUGUGUUGCUAACAUUAUUAAAAAAACUACAAUGAGUUCCAACACAUCUUUUUGGAUUGGUUAAAAUUUUAAAAAAAAAAAAUCCACCAAAUUGUGUUUGUCUUGAAUAAAUUUAAUGGGACCGGUGUGAAUUUUACUCCAAAAGGAUGUGUUGAAAAACAUAUAUUAAUAAAAGAAUGUUUUUUUUUUUUGAGAGCUAAUAAAAGAAUGUUAUAAAUGAUAGUAUUAGAUUUGUUGUUAACGUUAUUAAAAAAAACCAUGAGCAGUCUUAAAACACUCUCUAACGUACACUUUUUCCAACAUUUUUGGACGGGUUAAAAUUCACACAAAUCUUAUCGAUCAAAUUGUGUCAGGCGCCAGCCUCACAUAAAUAUAAUGAAUUUCAUGUAAAUUUUAACAAUAAAGAGUAUGUUGUAAAAUAUAUAUUAAAAGAGUGUUGGUGUCAUUACUACUAACAUUUUUGUAAGGCUAGGAAAUUAAGGGAAUGAUAUUUAAAAAAUUAUUUUGUGAUAAUUUUUUGUCAACUUUUCUUGUUCUUCUUUUUUCUCUUCCUUUUUCUACAAAAGUUGUUAUUAAAUUAAAUUAAAUAUCCCUAAAAAAAAUUAAACUAAAGUAAAUUAAAUAAAAUAAAUUAAUUUGCCAAUGCAUGCAACUAGACAUGACAAUGACGCGGGGUGGUGACAAGUUUUACCUUCCCCGUUUCCAUACCCAUUCUCAUAUAAUUACCCUUUACCCUACCCAUACCCAAGGGCGGAUCCAGAUUUUAGGUACAUCUGGAGCUAAAAUUUCAAAUAGUCUAAAAUACAGUAGUGUGCUCUUACAAAGGUGCCAAAAGCAAAAGAGCAAGCAACUACCAACCUAAUACUCGGCAAUUAGCUGAGAAGGAGGAGAAUGGAGAGCUGCUGUUAGUUGAGAGAUAUUGAAAUUUGAGAGAGAGGAUGAAAAGAGAAAAGGCACGUAGGAAGGGAAAAAGAAAGAGAAAGUGAAAGUGAAUGUGUUGCUACUGUGUUUUAUCUAUAUAUAUAUAUAUAUAUAUAUAUAUAUAUAUAUAAAGAAACAACCAUUUUCAGCAUUUUUGGGCCGACUUUUUCCUUAUACCCUCAAUUUUCAAUACAAAUGACACAUGUAAUAAAUAGAAAAGAAUAAAUUAAAUAUUAAAAUAAAAAUGUAACAAACACAAACAUCGAGUUUUUUCUUUAUCAUUUAAAAAGUGAACAAACUAGAUGAGUGUAUUUAUACUUAUUUUUUCAUUAUCCUAAUUAUAACCUUAAACAACAACUUUUUCUAUAAUAAAGAUAGUUGUUGGUGUCAUUUUUUUUUUUAGCAAAAGCAAGAUUAAUUCAUAUCAUCCAAAAUCAAAGAGUACAAAUAAUCAUGUUUUUAGAUUAUAUUUUUUUUUGUUAUAUUGUUAGUUUCUUUGAAAUAAAUAAUCAUGUUUGGAUUGAUUUGUUAUAAUUUGAAUUCAACAAAAAUUUAUAUUUUACUUUUAAUCAAAAUUAAAAUUUCAAAAAAAGAAAACACCGUUCAUAAUUUUUAAACUGUAGCGCAAUAAAAAGAGCGGAAGAACGGCCACAUGAGUUUAUGUCAUUUUGCUAGUCUAUUCUAAAAAAAAAAAAAAAAAAAGGAAAAGCAUGUGGAGCUUUAGCCCCACAUAGAUCCAAUGUGGGUCCUCCCCUGCCCGUAUGCAGCGGGGAUGAGAAAUUGAUCCCAUUCCCAUUCCCGAUGGGUUCGUGUAUCUCCGCCCCAUCCCCAUCGCUGUAGUGGACAAUUUUUUUAAUACGAAUAAAAGAUAUUUUUAGUCUCGGACUCAAUGUUGUAAACAAAGAAAUGUUGGCAAUUGAUGACUAUGGUGAAUGCGAAGAAAGAGGUCGAGAGAGAUAUGAAAGGAGAAAAGAGAGAACUAUGAUAAGUGAUUGCCAUCUGAAAGAUUGAGACUCUGACUGUGUGAAUGAAAUGAUUUAGAGUUCGAGUUUUUAUUUAUAUAAGAGGGAUAAUAAAUUGAUUUUCUAUAUUCGAGACGAGUUUGGGUAUAAGUUCGGGGUGAGUACCUAUAUCCCUAUUACUUAUCCCGUACCCGUAUUUUAUAAUUGGAGAAAACCCAUACCCGAACCCAAAUCCAAACAAAGAAAAUCUAUCAAAUUAGGUUUGGUUCAAGUGGAUACCACAUUUAUGAGUUUGGUUAGCUUGUCUAAAUGCAACAAUAUUGUGGUGAAAGUGAAGUUGGGACACGUGGUAUAUUGAUAUUGAACCACGUAAGCAGUAAAAUCAGGAAGAAAGCAGCUAGCACACAGACACAACUUGUGUAAUUCAAUUCAGAAGACAGAUCUCUUUACUUCUAUCGUGCGUGGAAAGACAAUCUUAUCCUCAACUGAAAAUCACAACAAACAAACAAACUCAGUCAAAAUCAAAAUCAAAAUCAAAAUCAUAAUCCUAAUUUAAUUUACUUACAUUUUCACUCUCUUUCUUUCUUUCUUUCUUUCUCCUUCACAAAAGUAGAAAAAUAAAAAACAAACUGAGUCACACAUUCACCACUGAUCGAGGUUCGCACUUCAUUUUAUAUUUCGAACCUUCUUUUUCAAUUAUUUGUCAGCAUUUAAUAUAUAAUUUUCAUAAUUAGGUUAUUAAUUUUCGUAACGGUUCAUAUUAUCAUCAUUAUGAUUUUAAUUCUUUACGUUUUUAUAUACUUGAUUGCUUCAGCUGAGUUUGAAUCCACAUUAAGGAUGUCAAUUGGGAAAAAGCUCUGAUAAUGUAAUUUAAGCUCUCAAUUUACAAAUUAUGAUUUUGAUUUUUUGCGUUGUUUACGUACUGCUGCGGUUUUGUUUUAGGUUGCAUUGCAUUGGUUACAUUUCUUGUGUUUCAUUGAAGUCAUUGAUUCUACUGAGCUCAAUUUUGUCUACAAAGGGGUUUUUGGUUUUUAAUAGGGGAUAACUGAUAAGCUAGUUCAUGGGGACGAGCUUAUAGCAAAUAGCUUAUAACCGAUAAGCUAGCUCAUUAGAUUUAUAGUUUCUGUAGUAUUAGCAGUUGAACUAGCUUUUACAUAUGAAAUGACAUAAACAAAUAUAAGUUAACUAGUAUUUUAUUUUUUGCAAGUAAGCUGACGGAGUAAAAUUGAGAGAAAAAAUGAUAAGCUAUACAUUUUAAGCUUUAGGCCCCGUUUGGAUUGAUCUUAUGAAGAAUAACUUAUGCAAAUAAAUAAACUUUUAUAUUAUUUUAUAACUUCUCACUAACGAAAUUUUUAUCUUCAUAAGUUGUUUAUUCAUAAACUACCUUAACAAACUUAUGAAUAAUAAAUAAAAGCUUAUUUAUUUGCAUAAGCUCAAUCCAACCGGGGCCUUAAAAUAAUUUAAUUAGCUUAUCAAAAUAAGCUACAUGCUAGUAAAAAUAAGUUAUAAGCUCGUGAGAGGAAAAAAAAGAUUACAAAGGAGUCUUAUUUUAUCAAAUGAGUUUAUAAGCUAUAAGCUCAAAUUCCCGCACUGCCAAACAGAGCCUUGGUAUUGUUUUUGUGAUUUUGCAUUACAUAGACUGCUCAAAAUCACUACAAUUGCAAUUUGCAAAGAAUUAGAUUUACUGGGUUUAUUGGAUAUUGGAUGUACUAUGAAUUGUUUCUGUAUUUGUACAGACUAAGAUUAGAUUUACUAGAUUUAUUUAAGUUCAGAACUGUUGGGCAUGGGUUAUGCCUAAUGCAUAGGACAUUGGUAUAGUUGACAUGUGUUUCACAAGCGUUGCUGUUACAGUUGUUCUAGAAGUGCCUAGAUUGGUACAGAGAUUUAGCGUUGCUUCUGCAGUUUGACAUCUUGUUAGUGGGUUUUGUCUGACAAGUUUACCCGAGACAUAUUUUGAAAAUUCAGGGUAUAAUUAUCAAUAGUUUUAGGGUUGAUAGUUGAGCAUAAAAAUGUCUAUGCUUGACUCUCCAAGGUGUUUGGUCCUAGAUUUUCUCUUACAACACAUGUACACUGCAGCAAGGUAUUCCGUUAUGGUUACCACAUCUGCAUUGUAUCACGCCGACCAUUUUCAAAUAUAAUUUGUAUAUUAUAUGUUAUGUGGGCUGACUCGUGUAGUUGGAGCAAAUUGCUAGUUAUAGUAUGUCACCUUUUUCAUUUUCUUUAAUUUACUCCUGGAUAUAUGUGCUAUGUGAUUUAUCAUUUAUUAUCUGCCACAGUUUCGGCAAUGCACAAGGUGGGUAGUGUAGGGAACCUAAAUAAUUCAACUCGCCCGCGUAAGGAGAAGAGGUUGACAUAUGUGUUGAAUGAUGCUGAUGACACAAAGGUAACUCAUUAUUUCUUUGUUCUAUCUAUUCCAGAAAAAUGGCCAAGUUUCAUUUUUGUUAUAACCUGCUUCUUUACCCCCAUAUAGACCUUUUCUUUGACAUGUGCCCCAAAUUUGUGAACUGGAUGAGAUUGAGAACCUGGUUGUUUAAAAAAAAAUUCAUGAAAAAAACCACCUUUUGAAAAAGAAAAACCACUUUUAAGAAUUUUAACGUGUUUUUAAGCUUUGAAAAGUUAUCUGAAUCAAUUUUAAAAAAGAAAAGAAAAACCCGAAUCAGACAAAAUAAAUUGUAAUAUGGGUAUAAUGCAAAAUGAGGAAUGCUAGGGUCACACCCUCUAACACUCUCUUUAAACACACACCAAUGAUAUGAAGCCAUCUCAUCUCUUAUUUUUAUUUCUUUACCGGAUAACCGGUCAAACAAGUGUAAAGAAAACAAUUUCUUUUGGUUUUUUAUUUUAAUUAAUUUUCCAGGACAUUGUUGCCAUCUCCAACCUCCAAAAACUACAUGGAUUCUUAUCUCUAUCGUAAUCUCUUGCAGUUGUCUCUGGUUACCUUUCCUCUGCAAAACUGUUUUUUAAUUUGCUGCAGCAAACCCUUUCCCUUUAGUUUUCGUUCUCCUUCUUCUUCCUAUUUAAGAUCUAAAUCCCCAAAAUUUCCUAAACCUUUUACUUUCAAACUUAAGAUCUAAAUUCACGAACUCUUCAUUUUUAUUUGACUAGUUUCUUUCUUCUUCUUUUUUUGAUUUUGAGUUUACAAAGUUUUGAAGUUCUUGUAUGAUAUAAUUUUUGGUGGGUUUGUUUUUCAAUGGAGAACAUAAACGUAAUCACACAAACCUGUUAGAGAAAACUGUGUUCAUUUAGUGAAAAAAAUAGUAUUUAAGAUUUUAAUGGAUGAACAAAAAUGGAGAUUUCUUUUGGACCUUUGAAAGAAGAAUAAAAGAAAGUUGAGUGGUACUUGCUGAAACGAGAAGAGAUACCUCUAGGUAAAUCUAGAAGAUGAAAAGUUAAAACCAAAAUAAUAAAUAUAAAAUAAAAAUAAAAUAAGUGGCUAAAUUGAAACCGGUAACCAGGAAAAGAACAAAAAAAGAGGGAUGAGGUGGCUUAAUAUUAUUGGAUGUGUUUAAAGAGAGUGUGACCCUAGCAUUCCUCAUGCAAAAUUGUUGAAUAACUUCUUCUGAGAAAUAUACUUUACAGAAAAAAGAGGAGUGUAUUGAGAAACUUAUAGAGACCAUCCUGUCCUACACUUCCAUAAAGGAGAACUUCAUUGUUAACCUGAGAUUUAACAACACAAAAGUCAGGGUGAAAUUCAAAGAAAACACUAUUGUCUUUAGCAAAUUUGCUGACAUUGAUCAAAAUCUUAGUUCUUUAUCAAAUUUGCUGACACUGAUCAAAUUCUUAGUAAUGGAUGGAACAUGCAGAAAGUUAUGCAGAAAAUGAGACGUAAUAGACUGGGAAGGUGAGUUAAACCGAGAAGAGCCAGAGGAAUGAAUUUUCAAAUCUUGUCCAUUCCCUAUGAAGAUCUGAUCUGGACCUUCAAAGGGAACACACUGUUGGAUACUUUGGGAGUUGUUUGUGACAUGGAAAGGAGGCACCCGAGUCAGGGAACCAAGCUGAGCUAGAAAAUGGUGUAGAAUUGGUGAGCAAGGCAUUUCGUUGAAUGGCAAAGGGUGGCCUAGGCUGGUUUGGAGGGCGCAUCCAUCUGUUUGCAAAACCAUUAGGAGAAAAAUUACCUUGAGAGGGAGAACCUUGAGAAUAGCCUUGGUACAUUUGGAAAUCAGCAGGAACAGGGGCUUGAUACUGCUGAUUGAAUCGAUAAUAACACAUUGAAGCAAUGUGACCAAAGCGAAAGCACACCUGGCACUGAAUAUUACCAAACCUGCCACAGCCGCGACGUCUGCCUCCAUGACCACGAAAACCACCUCCAGAGCCCAAGUUACAGAAAAUAGAAUCAGAACCAUCCAAAUUCGGUGUAGAAACCAGAUUAGCUUGUGUAGAGCUUGGAUCUGAAGGGAAAGAUGAUGGAUGAACCUGAGGUUUGGCUCGUGUAGAGCUUUGACAGUAUUCGGUCAUGGUUCAGAACCAGAACUCUAUGAUACCAUAGAAAAGAGAGUAGAGAAUUGUGAUCUCGAGUGUAAAACUCAGUGUACAAGAACUUAUAUAGGGUUCUUAUCCUACACCAACCAAGGAGUCAACCUAUACCCCUGUAACUAAAGUUCAGACGAGUGUGAAGUGAACUGCUUCUACCUGAAACUGCCACACUGGCAGAAUAUUCUUGACACCUGUAAACUAACUUUAGAACAUUCCAGAAAGGCAGAAAAGAAAGGCAAACAAAAAGCUACAUAAACUGAUAUACUCGUACAAUACUGAUUAUUAUGAGUAUGAUAGAUGAGAGAAAAUGUUAAAAAAGUAAUUUUUAUAAUUUUGAACAAACACAAAUUAGCUUAUACUUCACAUAAAAAUCUCAAAAAUCAAUAAUCACUUUUUUAUACAAUAUAAAAAACACUUCUUUUAAUCCUAAUGAUUGGCUGUUUGUGUCGUUGUUAUAGUUAAUAAAGUUGUAUUCAUAUCGUUCUCUCUCUUUUAUUCUUUCAACAUCAGAUCAUUUGGCGGCGUAUUUACUUUCCUCCUUAUUGUUAAUAUUUAUCACUAUUUAACCUAAUAAACAAUCCAGUAAGAAAAAAGAACUUUAUAUACAAUCAAAGCUUCAUAAAUAGUUUUUCUACUAUACACUUUGGUACCUGUUGCCAUUUUUCUACUAUCACUAUUCUCCUUAUUGGCAUUUUUCUUCUAAAAAUACAUGUAAUAGAUGCUACUUCUGCUGGUUUUAGUUGAAAGUUAAAAAAUUUCUCAGUUUAUCUAUCUAUAUUCACUCAAUCGUUUUUUUUUCCGCAGCAUUGUGCAAGCAUAAAUUGCUUGGCUGUACUUAAGUCCGCAGCAUCUGAUGGGUCUGAUUAUCUUUUCACUGGAAGCCGUGAUGGCAAGCUAAAAAGGUGGGCACUGGCUGUGGAUGCAGCGACAUGCUCUGCGACCUUUGAAUCUCACUCAGAUUGGGUAAUCCUCAUCUAUCUAAUCAAAAUUUUAACACACACUGUAACUGUGUCUGGUGACCUAUGGUUUAUUAAGAAUUACCUCAUGAACACGACAGUGAUUAUUUUCUAGGGUUAGUGAUGAUGCUUUAGCCACACUACCUCCCCCCUAUAGUCUCCAUCAAUUUCCUAAGAUAGAUUGGUAAGUGAAUUUCAAGUUAAAUAUCUAGUAAUUUUAUUGCUUAAUUACCAACUUUGAUGGUCAAGUUAGAAGAUACAUAUGAUGCAGCACGGGAAAGCUAUUCACUAUGCUAUGUGCAAAUUAUAUUACAUUCUUGGGAGCCUAGCAUACAGCAGAUGGACCCUGUAUGUGAAGCGCGAUUGAGAUGAAUAUUAUUUUCCUAUUUCUAGUCUUUUAUCAGAGGUAGUCUGGAGUUAUAAGUUCAGUUGAUAUAAAAUUUUAUUCAUAUAUGUUAGGAGUUCUUAGAAUUUGGGUUUAAGGACUCUCAAUCCCAUAAAACGAAUUGUAAGACGAGGUCUAUCGAAGCUUGUAAGCACUCCCUAGGCCAUCUCUACGGGAGUACAGUCUGUGGAACUCUCCCCCCCCACCCACACACUCAAGAUUGGACAUAUGAAGUAUAAGAUAAUGUGGGUUGAAUAACAAGGAUAUCAACACCCCCACAUUUCCAAGAUUGGACAUAUGGAGCGUAGAAAAAUAUGGAUCCUGUCUCAGGCUCUCAGCAAUAUAAUUUGGGCUUAAGGCUUAACUCAACCCUAGAAAACAUGCUUGUAAAGGGAGGACUGUUGAAGCCUUAUAAGCAAGGUUAUCAAGAUCUAGAUUUAAAUUGUAAAAUCUUACAAUUUAGCGGUCCUACUCACCCCCUACGAUUUGAAUCGCGCGCAAGAUCCCUUUUUUGUGCAAGAUCAUAGCAAAAUUGUUUCUGGCUCGAUUCUGUUAUUUUCUUGGGAUUGAAGUUACUCAGUCGCACGCAACCGUUGCUAUUUCUCUGUGAAAAUAUGUUCUCUAUAUCUUGGAAGAGACGAAGAAGCUUGAUUGUAAACCAAUUGAUACUAGUAUGGACCCAACAUGAAACUUCUAAAUCAAGGGGAGUCAUAUGUAAGCCAAACAAAUAUAUGAGAUUAGUGGAAAAAUUGAACUAUCUCACCAUGAUCAUACCAAAUAUCUCAUUUGCUGUCGGCGUUGAGUCAAUUUUGAAACUUACCUAUAGCCAACUAACUAAGCUUUUUAAUACCGAGUUUUUUUUAUACCAACUAACAUCAUAAUUUAUGAUACAUGCAUUGAAUAACAGCUUAAGGUAUUGUUACAUAUAUUAAAGUGUUUUUUGAACAGGUAAAUGAUGCGGUUCUUGUGGGUGAUAGUACACUUGUUUCUUGUUCUUCAGAUACAACCCUUAAGGUUGGUUGAUUGUUAAUUUGUUGUAAUCAAUCUCUGUUCUUCUAAUAUGAAAGCAGUACUGAUAUGAUUGUUAUUCGUUUUUGUCUGAUUUAUGUUUGUGCCAGACAUGGAAUGCUUUGUCCACAGGAACAUGUACUAGGACGCUCUGCCAACACUCAGAUUAUGUUACUUGCCUUGCAGCAGCUGAAAAGAAUGUAAUGUUGUUGGAACUUCUCAUUCUUCUUUUUUAAGUGCAUCAAGAAAAUUUCCAUUCAACCCAAACUUGGGUUGGCCGGGUGGUGUUGGCUUGGUACCUUGGAGUAUGCUCCUCCUCAAGGUCUCAUGUUUGAUUCUCCCCGGUGCCAAUUUGGGUGGGCUAGUUUUGCUUCUUCAAAAAAAAAAUAUAUUUUCCAUUCAUAUAUUUUCCGUGUUCAUCAUUGAAUCUGAUAGAUUGUUUGAUUCGAUUUUAAGUUUGAAUCUUAUCAAAUCCAUUUUCUGAUCCUUUAAUAGUGUCGUGAAUUAAUAGAGCAAUAUUGUUGCCUCGGGUGGCCUUGGCGGGGAGGUUUUUAUAUGGGAUAUUGAAGCUGCACUUGCUUCAGCUACAAAGUGCAAUGAGGCUAUGGAUGAUGAUACUUCAAAUUUUGUCAAUAGUUCUGGCAACUCAUUGCCAAUGACUAGCUUGCGUACCAUUGGCUCUAGCAACAGUAUAUCGAUGCAAGCUCAAACUGAAGUAUACAUUCCGGUUACUGCCAAAGGCCAUAAGGAAUCUGUUUAUGCAUUGGCAAUGAAUGAAGGUGGAACACUUCUUGUUUCUGGUGGUACAGAAAAGGUACUACGCGACAUCCAUGUCUAUGUUCUAACUGUCUGUGGCUUCUAUUAUCACCUUAGAAUUUUAAGGGGCAUUUAGUUUAUAUUUAUUUGCGCUAGCUUGAUUAUGGAUUGUUGUCUCUACCAUUAGCAUGAUUUAUUUUUGCUUUUAAUUGUUUCACUUAUCUAGGUUGUACGUGUUUGGGAUCCAAGAUCUGGAUCAAAGACUAUGAAGCUAAAAGGGCAUACAGAUAACAUUAGGGCUUUGCUUCUGGAUUCUACUGGCAGGUUUGUUCAGUGGUCUUAAAUUUUUAGUUUACAAACUUUACACACAACACACACACACAUGUGUGUGUGUGUGUGUAUAAUUAUAUAUAUAUAUAUAUAUAUAUAUAUAUAUAUAUAUAUAUAUAUAUAUAUAUAUAUAUAACUAGGGGAAAUGCACAAACCACAGGUUGCUAGCACCUAAAUAGCACCCAAUGAACCUGCACACCAGAAGAAAAAAAUAAAAACAAAGCAAAAGAAAUGGCCACCCGAAGAUUCCCCGGCAAACCAAAUGAUUUUUUAUUUUUUUUGUUUACAUAAUGAGUUUUUUGGUCAGUGGUUAGAAACCAUGUUAACCCAUAUGAAAAUAUAAAUAAAAAAUCAAAACAAGUGAACAUUGAAAACCAUGUUCAGUGGCUUUGAGUUUGAGUCUGUUGGUCUCCAGGGGCGGACCUGGACUCACAAUAUUAGUGAGGCUAAUUUUUUUUGUCAAAUACUUAAAAAAUACUAAAUUUAAUAAGAAAUUAUAUUAAAAAUAGUUGUAGCAACCAAAAUUAGAUGAUCAAAUUAAAUUGACAACCAUAUUGACCUUGCCAAAAAAACCACCAACAUUUGUAUGAGUCUUAGCACAAGCCACAAGUGCCAAUUGAAAUUGAUGAGCGAUGGGUGAAUGCUGAAUGGGCAUGACCUUGAAAAUGGUUAAAAUUGGUGUUUUUUUUUUUUAAUAAUUUGUAGGCGUAUUGGUAUAAUUGUUGGGGUGCAAGGUAAAUUUUACUGUGUUUUGAGAAAAAUCAGGAGAGAAGGUGUGUGUAAUACUGAUGGGCCGGGUUGACUGGAGUGGACAGAUAAAAAAUAAAAUAAAAAAUUGGGCCUGGGCUGGUGUGGCUAUUGCAACACCCUGUUUUGAACAAAUGGUUGUUUAUUUAUUUAUUUAUUUAUUACUUUAGACAAGUUACUCUUUACAAACAUUAGAGUUAGAAUGUAUUUAUGAACUACCCCUAUCUCUUUCUUUUGUCGUUUUCCUUUGGCAUUUCUAUUUAUUGCCACAAGAUAUAAAUAACCACAGCAUAAAUAGCAUGCAGUAUAAACCCCUAUUUUCAUCCUCUGAAAAUACAAUACAAGCAUCAUCAUUUUAGCACUCAAUAUUUUUUUCGUCAUUUAGUCUCAAUAAUCGAAAGUGUAAUCAUUUUGGUCCUUUUGUUAACUUAUAUUCGAAGACUAGUCCAGUAUCUGCUUGUCAUGUCAUUGCCUAUCAGACAGCCUUCUAAGUUAUAUUAUGGUAACCAAAAUAAUGGCAUUAUUGAGGGGACAUUUGAUGGCAAAAUUCUUGUAAGAACUGAAUCACUGAAUUGAUGAUACUUGUAUCCAUGGACGUAGAGGAUGAAAAUGCUGAUUACUAAGACUGAAUAUUUCAUAGGCCAUGUUUCAGUGGGUAGCUAUUUAAUGGGUAAUAGUAUACUGAAUUUUAUUUUGGAACAAAAUGGAAUAGUAUACUUUUGUGAGGACUGAAUUACUGAAUUGACGAUGCUUGUGUCUUUAGACUUAGGAUUAAAAUGAUGAUUACUAACGCUUAAUAUUUCAAUUGCCAAUGUUCCAAGGGUUGCUAUUUGAUUGGCAAUAGUAUACUGAACGGAAUGCUGUCUGGUUUUCUUUAUCGUUGCAUAUACAUAUUAUCAUUUCAUAAGUUAUGUUAGGUUGAAUUAAGUAAUACUUUUUUCUUCCUACAUCAGCUGAGAUGCUUAUAACAUUUAUCUUUGUAGGUUUUGUUUAUCAGGAUCUUCAGACUCUAUGUUAAGGUUGUGUAUUUUCUUUUGACAAUAAGAUGGCGUGUGGUGUUAUAGUAAUUUAUAUUGUUUGUUAUAAGCUUGACAAAUUUCACACCUUUCCUUGUAGGCUUUGGGAUCUCGGUCAGCAACGUUGUGUGCAUUCAUAUGCGGUUCAUACAGAUUCUGUUUGGGCUCUUGCUAGCAACUCAACGUUUAGUCAUGUUUAUAGUGGUGGUAGAGACUCUUCUGUGAGUUCAAUUUUUCUUUAAAAAUAAAUUGACUAUUUUAAUUAUUGUGACUUGAAUUUCUGUGACGUAUUGUUUUACUGUUUAACCUGUGUGGUCAUCUUCUGACCCAUUAUUUCCAGUUAUACUUGACAGAUUUGCAUACUAGAGAGAGUGUUUUGCUUAGCACUGGGGAACAACCAAUUCUUCAAUUGGCUUUGCAUGAUGAUAGCAUAUGGGUUGCAUCAACGGACUCGUCGGUUCACAGAUGGCCUGCUGAAGCAUGCAACCCUCAAAAGAUUUUCGAAAGAGGCAAUUCUUUUAUAGCUGGAAAUUUGUCAUAUUCAAGAGCGAGGGUGUCUCUAGAAGGAUCUACCCCUGUAUGUUAUAUUUAUGGUUAUUUCUCGAAAAUAUUAAUUUUAUUAUUGCAUCUACUAAGUGUUGUAUUGCUCUGGGAAUACGUCAUGCUGGUUGCAUAUGCACAUGUAAAGGUGAAAUAUAUUUGUUUAUUUGUCUCUCUUCCAAAGAAGUUUCUCUCCAAAUAUAAAUGUUCUUUUGAUUAGGUUCGUAGAACAGAUACAAUAGGAAGAGAAUAUAUUAAUCUUAUUUGAUUUGAUAAUACACAGUAUACAUUAGGAUUGCAGAGGAAAGGAAAUAAAACAGAAGGAAAUUAAAUCAUAUUAGAGAUAAAGGCCAAGCUGUCUUAAUAUUGUUAGUAUAUCUGAUUUCAUAGCUUGAAGCCACUCAGUAGUUUUCAUGUCCAUUUUUGUAACAGAUUCAGGGAUAUACUAACAAUAUUAAGACAGCUUGGUCUUUAUCUCUAAUAAAUCAAAUCCUAAUAAUCUUAACUCUGGAAAAUAUCUAAACUGAUAACAAUUCAAACAAACCUCCCCCGAUUUCAUCCCUUUAUUACAGGGGUUGCCAGCAUAUUAUUUUCACAAUAUUAACACAAUAAUAUCCCUGAAUCUUUUUAUUUCAACAGAUUCUUUCUGUUCUGGAGCAGGGCCACUAAUAAUUUUUCUUUUGGUUGCCAUUCAAAUAUUAUCAAUAGGUUCCUGAAUAUAAACAGCCUAUCUUGACUAUUCCCGGCAUCCCUGCAAUAGUACAGCAUGAAGUUUUAAAUAAUAAGAGGCAUGUGCUGACUAAGGUAAUCAUGGUGCUUUGUGUUUGUGUCACUAUGCCAAGUAUGUUAAUACUGUCACAUGUUCUGUUGUAUAGUUAUCUUCUGAGCUGAUAAAUGGCUUCUUUAUAGGAUACUUCUGGUUCAGUGAAGUUGUGGGAAAUCACGAAAGGUAUUGCAAUUGAAGAUUAUGGAAAGGUGAGAAUUGGUUUUACUUUCACUUGUUAAUCUGCACGGAAGUCCUGUUUGAUAGGGAAAAAACCUUAGUUGCACUUAUUAUUAUUUCAAAGUUCAACUGUAGCCGACAAUAUCAUUUGUUAGUUCAAAAUAGCUAAUACUUUACAUGUGGAUUAUAUAGGUACCAUUUGACAAGAAAAAGGAAGAGCUAUUUGAGAUGGUAUGAUUGCAUGUAUUCAUCAUCAUCAAUUCUUUUGCUUUUUGAAUGACACUUGUUUUAUAUAUAUUAUUUUUUUUGUUAUGGUUGGUUUAUAUUUUAUUUUCCUACUACUUCAGGUUAGCAUUCCUGCAUGGUUCACAGUGGAUACUAGACUUGGAAGUUUGUCUGUGCAUUUGGACACUCCCCAGUGCUUUGCUGCAGAGAUGUAUUCACAAGAGCUUAACAUUGUAGACAAGCCUGAAGAUGAUAAGGUAAGUUAAUGUAUUUUCAUAAGCAAUUUGUAUGCCUUUUUCUUGUAUUUCUUAUCUUUUGAUAUUUUCCCUAUUUUCAAGUCUUCGGUAUGUUAUUAUCAGUGUUGUCAAAUGGCGGCCCAUGGCGUGGCGGAUUUUGGGACAAAAGCCAUAGGCAAUUUGUGAACAGAUGCUCACCGUGGCUGCGCCACAGGCCACCGUGGCGCGUUUAUAUGGUGGAGUUUUAGCCUUCCCCCAUCAACAACAUUAGUUAUUGGCUGUAACAAAUAAUACUCACUUUAGAUACUAAACAUUGUUCAUUCUCCUUUUGUUUUGCAAGUUACUAAUGAAUAAUAAAUUUACAACGUCCAGUUCAUUUAUCUGUUUACGUCAUUCAUCUUGGGAUCCAUUACCGUCAGUGAAACAUAUUGACGUUAUCUAAUUUUACUUUGUUCUUUUUCAAUCCCAAUGAUGCCAUGUUGCUAUAAUCACUGAUAUGAUAGUAUUUAUUUAAAAGUCAUAUUUCUGUCAAGCUACUCUAUUAUAUGCUUCUACAGUUUUAUUACGUCGGAGGCAGCAUUUUGAAAAUUAUUGCACACCAAAAUCAAUGCUUAUACAUACAUGCAUGUACAAAGACAAACACACAUAUAAAUGAAAUACGGAAGCAGCUAAUGACUCUUCCUUUUACUCUACAGAUUAACUUGGCUCGAGAAACACUUAAAGGACUCCUGGCUCAUUGGUUGAGAAAGCAAAAGCAAAGGAUGGGAACUCCUGCUUCUGCUAAUGGGGAAUUAUUAUCUGAAAAUGAUAUUGGUACUAGAAGUCUUUCACAUUCAAGAAUUGAGGUUGAUGGAAGUUCUGAGAAUGAUACUAUGGUUUAUCCUCCUUUUGAAUUCUCAAUUGUUUCCCCUCCUUCCAUUAUUACCGAGGGAACUCAUGGAGGUCUGUGGAGGAAAAAGAUUACAGAUUUAGAUGGAACUGAGGAUGGUAAAGACAUCCCCUGGUGGUGUGUGGACUGUGUAUCGAGUAAUCGGUUACCUCCUAGAGAAAAUUCCAAGUAAUUUUUUGUCUUCAUGUUUAUUGUUCUCUCUAAAUUGUUGCAUGUAGCCCAUGCUUUUAGUAGCAAGAGUGAAAGAUUGCUCGUCUUGGGUCAUGGCAAUUUGCAUUUAUUGUCCUAGCAUGAUCGGAAUAUUUCGGCAAUCUUAUUUUCGUAUUAUUAUGGCUCAAAGCAACAUAUUCAGCAUGUUCCGAUGUUUUAAAGAUCCUUUUUUCCUAGUCUUCUGUGUAAGAACUUAACUGACUCUUGAUAGUUAUAUAAUGAUUGUACACUAUACACCUCCCAAAAAAAAUAUGGUGGCACUUUAAUAUAGCAAUUAUGAUGGAAAUCAACUUGUUAUUUUAUUGAGUUGUACUGGAGUGCUUCCUACUAGUCAAGUGGCAUUUGUCGUUUGGUUUAUGUAGUUCUUACAGUAUCUUUCAUCAUUUUUUGCUUUCCUAAAUGAUGAAUUUAUUUUCUAACUUUUUUACACUGGGAAAAAAGUGGAAGAAUACUUAUGGUUUGAGUUUCUUACCACAGUUGUAAUUUUAUAUUUCUGGCAACCUCUGAUUAUUAAUCUUGGGUCAGUUAUAUUCUGUUAUCUCUAAUAUAGAUAUUUUUAUCUUACCCUUUGCAGAUGCAGUUUCUAUUUAUAUCCUUGUGAAGGCUCUAAUGUUCAGAUCCAUACUCAAGGGAAGCUAAGUGCUCCACGUAUAUUAAAAAUUCAGAAGGUAAGUUUUAAUAUUUCAUAUUGACGAAUGGUAAAUAAUAGUUUCAUGUGCUUUUCCAGUGUUCUUUUGAAAUUUUCUUCAUUUCUAUAUGAAAAGAAAAUGUCUGUAGCAAGAGAACAAUGUGCUGAUCCUUUUUCUUUGAAGCUAUAAUUGCUUUUGACAUCAAAUUGAAGACAUUACCAUUAACUUGCUGAUAAAUCUGUUUUAUCUAUAUAAAGUUGGCUAUUGAGUUGAGCUUAACUCAACCGUACAAAUCCGGUAUGUAAGACAAGGACUGUCCAAGUCUCAUAAGGACUUCAUCAAUAUCUUUGGUAGGAAUUUGGGCAACCUUCAUAGGCAAUUUGUGAAUGAAUGUUCACCAUGGCGGCGCCAUAGGCUGCAAUGGCCUGUUUAUUCGGCGGAUUUUUGGUUAUCCGCCAUCAGCAAUGCUGAUAACACCACUUCUCACACCUAGCACCGAAUAUCGAGAGCGUGGACAAAGAGAGCUUCUUUUUCCAACCCUAGGUUUCUAAAAAACCACACACCUGAUCUGUCCGGAGGUAUACUUUCGGACGGAAAAAACUGUUUUUGUCCAAAAGUAUACUUCCAAACGACAUAAAAACUGUUUUUUUUUCUUUCCGGAAGUAUACUUCUGAAGUGACUUUGGCGGUGGGAAAAGAAACUCCUUGGACAAAUGCAUGUUUCCAAAUAACAGACCCGAUCUUCCGGAGGCAUACUUUCAGACGGAAAAAACUGUUUUUGUCCAAAAGUAUACUUCCAAACGACAUAAUAACUGUAUUUUUUUUUCUUUUCCUGAAAUAUACUUCCGAAGUGACUUUGGGGGUGGGAAAAGAAGCUCCUUCGACAAAUGCAUGUUACCAAAUAACAGAUUUAGAUUAGGUUUUGAUACCAUCUUAGAAUAUAUAGGUUGAACCUAACUCAACCCCACAAAACCGGCUUGUGAGGUAAUGAAUGACUCUAAACGUUACAAUAACUACUUAUGCCAUAUCUCUAAGUUGGCGUCACAACAACUUUGUUUAUUUUAUCGUGGAAUAUGGAAAAGGAUGUAGAGUUCUCAGUUUCGUAUGCUGGCAAGCCUCAACUUGCACGGUGGAGAGCCCAUGUUUCAGAUUUCUCUGUCAGGAACUAACUGAUGAGAGUGUUUUUCUAAUAGUUUAUUGUUAUCUUUCUGACUAAGACAGCUGAAAUAUAUGUUUACCUCCACAACUGAAGCAGCCCAACGGAUAAAUAUUUGACCUCCAAAUAUUAUUUCACCUAUAACUAUCCCUCUAAGUGUUGUUAUUGGCGUUUUCCACCUAUGUCAAAGAUGCCAAAUCUUGGAUGUUUUCAAUACAGGACAAUUUAGACAAAAAUAUGAAAUUAGGGUAUUAUAACAAUUUUGGGUUCCCCUUUUUCGUCAAGCAUGCCAAUGAGAUAAAAAUAUCUUGAUAUGGGAAUAUUGGAAUUGUGGAAUUUUCAUAUCUGAACAACUUAGAUGCUUAUUAUAAUUUUGGGUUAUGAAAUUAUUAUUAUAGUUUGACUUUGAAAUUAUGGUUACUCGGAUAUCUAAUUUGUUUAUACAAUUUGUACAUGUUUGGGUUAUUCGGAUGAAAUUAUGGUUAUGCCUAGACUUAGAUUUGGAAUUUAAGAUUGCAAUCUUGACUUGCCGUUCUCGCCCUCCCACUUCCAUCUAUUGUCAUUUUCAUCCUACAGCACUUUCUUUUUGUUCUCUCCUCCAUAGCUUUUCUUUCCACCCCUCUCAUUAUAAGUGUUGACAUAUUCGCCCGUUAGAAGUCGUUUUACACCUGCCCACUUUGUAUUAUAUGCUCAAAGUUAUGGAUUAAUUUUGGUCAUUUACUGAAAUAGAUUUUGCAACAGUUGAGGUUACUAUAGUUUUUCCAUUUGGUCGUUUUAGACAGUUUAUUCUGAGGUCUCAUGUUGGCAUUUCUUGCUAUAUCUGUUAUCAUCAAAAUGGCUUAUGUGGGAAGGACCGAGGAAGGCUGUGAGCGGGAAAACAAAAAAUUAGCGUUCGAAUUUAUCGACUGUUAUAAAGUGCAGCGAAGACAUGUAUUUGAUAACAUAGUUGUAGAAUUUUUAGUUCUAUUCUGUUGAUAAAAAACUUCAAUAUACUCCCUCCGGUCCUUAAUAUAAGAAGAAAAAAAAAAAAAAACCAUCAAAACCAAUGCCAGCAUUAAUUGUUGUAACUUUUUAAACAUUUUUACAAAUAUACCCUUAUAGAAUGUUGUGAAACAUUAAAUACAUCCCACUAAUAUUAAAAAGACAGACAUUAAAUGAGGGAUAAAAAAGUCUUUUAAGCAAUAACUAUCCUUAAAAGUUGUGACAUUUUCUUAUAAAUAGGACCAAAACUUUUUUUGAAAAUUUUCUUAUAUUAAGGACCGGAGGGAGUAUUUUGGUUGAUUGCUUCGGUCGCCUGUCACCACAGAGUUAUAUUCAUGGUUUUAUAGUUCUUUGCUCUGUGCUGUGUAGUUGACCAUGAUCAUACUUUCCAAAAGGAUUCAUUGCUUUGUUUAUGGAUAAAUUUUAUAGGCUAAAUUUUCCCAGCUCAACGAUGCAUUUAUUAAUGAUGAACUCAAUUUUUUUUUUGGUCUAGGUUAUUAAUUAUGUUAUAGAAAAGUUGGUGCUUGACAAACCUUUGGAUAGUGUCAAUGCCGAUGGUAGUUUUCCCCCUGGUAUUGCUGGAUCACAGCUACAGCACCAAACAGUUGGGGAUGGAUCUUUCCGAUCUGGCGUUAGGCCUUGGCAAAAAGUUAGACCUUCUAUUGAAAUAUUGUGCAACAAUCAGGCAAGUUAUAUCUUCUUAUCAAAAGAUAGUCUUAUGACACUGUAUGUAUUUAGUUUUUUAAAUGAUGCCAAGAUUGAGCAAGUUCAUGCUUAUGUUUUUUAUAGUUGGCCUUCUUUCAAUUUAUGCGUAUGCAUUUUAGAAUCUGUUCACUUAUCGUAUGGAGAUUUUUGGUUACCACACUGUUGUUUCCAGCAAGUUAUUAAAAUUUAAAGACAUAAUUCCAUUCGACCUACUUCCAUUGAUGUUUUAAAGCUACAACUUUUAUCAGCUUCUAAUAUCCACGGCACAGAAUUACUUGAAGAAGUCGUUGUCAACAGCUUUGAAAGUGUUUUGAUCUAAUUAUCCUGAAAACCAGUUUAUAUAUUAUACCAGUUUAUACACACGGUACCUUGAAAUGAUCAGGUUAAAAAUGUGCUCUUAUUCAACAGGAAUAAUACUUGGCAGAAACUUUAUUCAACUUCUAGGAUAUUUCACUUGAUGUGAUGAGAUGAACAGAUCAUGAUAUAAUUAAGAUAAUAUUGAGAUGUUAUAUUUUAAUAUAGGGUCUUGUUAACUUGUGCCCUAAGGGCACAAGAUAAGAAACUAAAUGUAGAAACUUAAUCUUGGAAAUUUUGCAUUCAUAACCUUAAAAACUUCAAAACUUAUAUUUUCAAUGCAAUAUUUAUUUUUAAAUUCUAUUUUAAGAUCCUUAUUUUGUGCCCUAAGGGCACAAGUUAACAUUUUCCUUUAAUAUAUCUAACAUAGCCAAGUUUUUUAAUUUCGAUUUCCAGAUAUUGUCUCCAGAAAUGAGUUUAGCCACAGUGCGGGCUUAUAUAUGGAAGAGAACAGAUGACCUAGCCCUACAUUACAGAGUAAUUCAUGGGAGGUGAUUGCAAAUGGCGCUUUCGUUGAUGGUGGUAUAGCAUCUUGAACUCUGCUUAGCUACGAAUAUAAUGCUUUCAUGACCUAUUUUCCUGCAUUUUUUCUUUCUUUUUCCGCUACCAACUGGAACAGGGAAGGAAGACCUUAGUUAAAUACUACUCUGCAAUCUUUUUUAUUGAUGCCUAUAUUGCUCCCCAAAUUGAGAAGGCUUUAAGCCAUUUCUCUGCAGCUUAGCUUCUGAGAAAUAUAGUGCGAUUAUGAAGCCUAAACUUUCUUUCAAUCUGUAGGAAAAUAUUUUUGCAUGUUUUGCCAAUGCUUAAAUGAUGAUCAUUGCCAUCACAAACAACUUUUGAAGAAUUUGGAUGGAAUGCAUAUAUACUCUCCUUGUUAUCCUUAUUUUUUCUUUGAUCAUUUUGCAGGUUUUCUUCUGAUUGAGUUAAAACACUUCUGAUUGAAUCUAGUCGGGUGCUUGAUUUGAUCAAUAGCAUUGUAUGAGAAUUGUAUAUUCUAAACUCUCAAUGAUAACCAAAUUUAGUAGCAUUAUUCAAACCUGCUUGAAUAGAUUUUGUGGUGUUGAAAUUUGUGACUAAUUUUAUUUUUUGAAUUACAUCUAGCUGGAACAUACUUUCAGUGGACAUGACCAGGACUCGUGAAUUUUGUGUCUGCAAGAUGAAGAGAGUUUUCUAAUUGGCUCUAUUGGGUAUUAGUGGGGAUCAUAUGGGUAGGUAGCAAAUUUAGGGAUGACAACAAAAAUAUUGUACAUUUGAUGUGUAUGUUAAAUACCUCAACGUAGAAAUUAUGUUAUUUUCCUUCAUAUCUUGUCUCUCUUUUUAUUUAUUGAUUUUUUAUAAAUUGGUUAUCAUUAAUUGCAAGCAUUAUGAUUCUCAUUUUCUUAAAUUUAGUAUCAGUUACCUAUCAUUUUCUGCUUAACUCCUGAGUUUAGAGCUCACAGCCUGCUGUCCUUGGUUGUAUUGCGCUCACAAUUGUAUUUGCCUUUUAUUCAGAGAAAUGAUAUUUGUACAACCAAUUUGUGACUGCUCUCUCUCUCAUACUCGCAUUAUGUUUUGACUUUAUCUCUAUUGUUUUGAUUUUCCGAUAAGUUCUUUAGAAAUCUAUGAUUGUCCGAUAAGUUGUCAGAUAAAUGGUUGUUCAAAUACUAACACUCUUCGUUUAUUUACGGUUAUUACUCUUACUCCUAUCUUUUUGUGCCAGAAAUGUGGAUUUGGAAACUGAAAUCACAAACAUAUGUGCACGCAUCUUGUUUAGCCAAAGUCAUGCAACAUCUAAACGUGCAAAUCAGAUUGAUAAUCCGUCAAUUGAGGUUAAUUUAAUUGGUAAGUUGGUUUAUAUUUUGCAAAGGCGUGAGUAAAUCUUGUCAAUACGAAAAAUUUGUUGGUGGAUAAUCUGUACACACCUCUGUUAGAGUCCUCUAAGCCUUGAGGUCUAACCCUUUAAUCUCUUGGGAUCAAAUUCACUUAAAAAAAAUGAGAUUGUUAAAGGGUAUUAUUUUUUUGGUAUAGAAAUAAAUCUUUUGGGUGUUUACCGACAAGAUUAGCCCUACAAAUUUGAUAAUUCAAACCAAAUUAAUUAAAUUGGUUUAUACAUUAAUUUUUUUUUUUCUCGAAGAAGAACAAAUUGUUGAUUUUGUAUUACUUUAUUAACUAUUCACUUUAGAAAAAACCAAAUCUUUCACAGUUUAUCGAAACAAACUAGUGCAGCUGAGCAAAAACUGUCGGACAAAGUAAUAGAUUCUGGACUUACUCUCUGGAGACUCAACAAAACACCAAGGGUAGGUGUUCCCAAAAGGUCAAACAAUAGGAAAACAAAUUAAAAACCAUGUAGUGAAACACAUUAUAAAAAGGAAAAUGCGCCGAGCAAAUUAUCAUACCAAGAAAGAUUAAAUCAAACGAGAACAAAUUAGAACUAUUGAUUAUGGUGAAGGUUAUACAUAUUUGGGAACAAAAUAGAAAAAGAUUCAGAAACAAAUCAUAAACACAAAAAUAGGAGAGUAAAAGAAAACGCAUGUGGAGGAUUGGUAGACCUCCACAUUGAAGAUUAAUAACAGUUGUAGAGAGAAAAUGCAGAAAUGCUGUGUUGAAAGAAGCUUAAUGAAGUAUUUUUGGCAGAUGCCGUAAGAAACUCUGCGUUUGCGGGUACUGUGAACUGGUGUCGUGACAAAGAAAAUGACCCACGUCGUGAAGGUCUAUAAGGUUGCGAGUGUGCACCCCCAUACAAGAGUUUUAGACUAGAGAGUUUGUGCCGCAUGCGUAGGAAAACUAAAUCAAAAUGACGUCGUUUUGUUGUCCUUUUUUUUUCCUUCCUCAAAUAGAGACUCCAAAACGAUGUGAUAAUUUUUUAUUUUUUUUUAAGGAGAGAAGUUACACAUAGUCUAACUAUGGAAAUGUCCCAACCGACUUGGUCAAUUUUUUCAAUUUUAUUAUUGGUUUUGUGAUAUAAGAGUUUUCAAGAUCAGUUAGAUCGAACACAAGUGUAGUUUCUAGUCCAUCAGACAAAUCUAACCCAAUUUUUAUUACUUUAUUGAUAAAAUAGAGCUCCCAAUUCAUAAACACGAAUUACCUACAUUUUAGUCUUGGUAUUAAAAAGGAGUUUGCUCAAAUUUUACAUUCUCUUCAUACUUAUUCUUAUAUUUUAAAAGCACAUGCAAUCCUAUGUUUUAAGUCAACUUAUUUUUUCUAGAAAUAAAAUGUCAACUUAUAUUUUAAUCUUAAUUUUUCUUAUUUUAUUUAAAGUCAACUAAUUAUUAAUACAACAGUCAAUGCUUUUUAGAUAUACUUUAUGAAAAAAGGUCCAUUGGUCAAUCUAUUUCAUCCCUCUUUUUAUCAUUCAUUCCAACAUAAAAUCAAGCAUUCUUCCCAAAUUUGGAACUUUAUAAAUUUUAAUGUGUGUCGAGAAAAGCGUGCAAAUUCAGGCACAAAGACCUUUCACGCAUGCAGCAUGACCUUCAAAUUCGAUUUCAUUUCAUUUUUAUGUAACAAAAAUUUUGAUUCCACUUUUUAAAGUAUUUUUUGUCUGGUUGCAAUUUAAUUAUUGCAGUUCCAUUAUGAAUCCAUGCUUCAACAUGCCAUUUCUUGGCCUAUAUAUGUGCCUAUAUAAAUCCACCAAUCUACAUGUAUCUAUUAAUUAUUAAGUUCAACAUUCCUUAACUUCCUCAACUACAAUUACUUUAUUUUUUCCCACAUUAACGUUUGUGUCAUGGAUUCUGGUCUCUGCUUAGUGUCUAGUCCAAACCAUCAAAACAUAGUUCAAAAUAAUUUCUACGACCCUUCUUGGUUACAAAAACAACGUAACGUUCCAAUGAACUUCGUUUGGCCAAAAGAGUAUCUAGUGAAUGCAAAUGAAGAGUUUCAAGCACCAUUGAUAGACCUUGAUGGGUUCCUUAAAGGUAAUGAAGAAACCACAAACAAUGUUGCAAUGCUCAUAUCCAAAGCUUGUUCAACUCAUGGAUUUUUUCAAGUGAUUAACCAUGGUGUUGAUUUGAGUCUCAUUGGUGAAGCUUAUGAUCAAAUGGAUGCUUUUUUUAAGCAACCAAUUGAUAAGAAACUUAUUGCUCGUAAGAUAAAAGGUUCAAUGUGGGGUUAUUCUGGUGCACAUGCUGAUAGGUUCUCCUCCAAAUUGCCUUGGAAGGAAACACUUUCUUUCCCUUUUCAUGAUAAUAAUGUCUUUGAGCCUUCUGUCACUAACUACUUUGACUCCACCUUGGGAGAAGACUUUCAACAAACUGGGUAAGACUAUAAUAUAAAUUAAUUUAUUGUGCUUUAUAUAUUUGUGUCCCAAGUUUUUUAUUUUAUGAAGAAAAAAAUAAUUUAUUUUAUUCAAAUAUAUCAUGAAAUAAAAGUCAUAAAAAUCGUCGGAAUCUUGCACAAAUGGUUGGUGUGUGCGUAGUGUUUGUUAGUGUUUUAAACCCUAGAGUAUCGAGUUUGAUUCCCGCUAACUGAUUUUUUUUUAAACCUUAUCAAAAAGUUAUGUUGAAAGUCCAUGAGAUAUAACAUGAAAAAUUAUUUAUAUGUGAAUAGAUAUUCAUCGCCUUAAUUACAAGUAGAUUUUGUAUCAACCUAAAUUUUAUUAUGAUAUCAAGAACUAAAACCUAUCGGGCCACUCGUUGUUGGGGCACUAAUUUCACAUGUUUUUAUAUCUACCACUACUACUCACACACAACAUAUAUGAGUUGUAAUAAUUUGUUAUGCAUCAUAAAUUGUGCAGAGUGGCAUUCCAGAAGUACUGUGAAGCUAUGAAGAAGUUAGGGAUGAAACUGAUGGAGAUAUUAGCUAUAAGUCUGGGAUUAGAUAGGUUCCAUUUUAAGUCCUUAUUUGAAGAUGGUUGUUCCAUAAUGAGAUGCAACUAUUACCCAUCAUGCCAAGAACCAAGUGUUGCAUUAGGGACAGGACCACAUUGUGACCCAACAACAUUAACAAUACUUCACCAAGAUCAAGUUGGAGGGCUUGAUGUGUUUGCUGACCAGAAAUGGCAGACGGUUAGACCUCGUUCAGAUGCAUUUGUUGUUAACAUUGGUGAUACUUUCACGGUAUGUAUGUAGGACCUUACUCAUAGCAUUACAUCAUAGAUUCAUAUGCAUAUGCAUGAUAAUAAUAAUUACAAAAUGUUAUUUUUUGUAUGCUUCUAUAUCUUUACUUUGUGGCUAUUAUGAUCCCCUUGCAAUCAAUCAACACUGACUGAGCAGAUACACAUUUAAGUACAUCAAAGAUUCUGCUUCUGAUCAUCUCAAAACCCUAAUUAAGUCUUAAUUUUCAUGUCAAAUUAUGAUUGAUCAAAUUACAAUGGUGAAAUUAUAAUAUAGGACAUGAGCAUUAUUGUUAGAUGUUAGUGAAAUUUUAGAUAAUCCUAAAUCGAACAAUAAUUAAUAGAGUUGACUUAAUUUUCAACCUAAUUUUAGAUUACAACUUCCUUUCCUUUUUUUUUUUUGGGUCAAAUAACUUUAGCGAACAAGUAAGAUAUCGGAACCCUAAAACCUCUGUAUAUAUUAUGUAAUGUCUCUACCGAAUAAGCAAAUACAACUCUCUUUCCCUUGAAAACAAGAGGAUUAAUACCAAAAAGGAUGUUAAAACCUUAUAUAUGACUAUAUUUUUCUUACCUGUGUAAUAUUUCAAUUAUCUACUAUUUUUUUUUUUAUUACUUCUCUAUUUUCCUAUAUGGUAUAGACAGAAUAUAUUACUGACUGAAGAAUCUAAAAAACGAAUAGGUGAGUACAAUUAAUAAAAAAAAAUACUCAGUUAAUAAUAAUGCAAGUUUAUCGUGAACAAUGUGCGCAUGUUCUUAUUAUGGUUAACUAAUACUAUUUUUUACUCAUGUCAAUCUCAUAAGAAUUCAACACCAAAUAAGUUUAUGAUUAACCUUCUUUUUUUUUUUGUUAAAGCAUAUGAUUUGACCUAGAGGUAUUUUUAUAGCAAAUCAAAUAACUUUAAAUUCAUCUAAAAGUUUAUAUUAAUUUAUAUUAUAGUAACUCUUAAUUUUGAAUAUAACUAUAAUUUCCUUCCUUAAAAAAAAAAACUAUAAUUUCCUAAAAUGUUAAGAAAAUUUGUAACUUCCCAUAAAAAAAAAAAUGAAAAUGUGUAACAAUAUGUCCAAGUAUUAUAUUGAUGUGUGUCUGUGUAUGUGUGUAUGACAUACUUUUUAUAUCAAUCAUCAGCGAUCUAAAAUUUGAGGGUUUUUCUACUAAAGUAUGAUUAGGGUGUAUAUCUUCUAUUGCUAAAUAUUCCCUAAAAUAGUACACAAGUGACUAUUUUAUCUUUUGAAAGAAAAAGCUUCAAUUGAGCCAAUUAGCAUGCUUUCUUUAAUCCUUAAAUAUGUGUUUUAUGUUAUAUUAUAGGGGAUAAAUCUGAGCUUGAGACUAUGUCCACCCAUCCUAAAGUCUCCCCAGUGUAUAUAAUAUGUUAUUGCAUUAUUUUAAUUUUUUUUUGUCAAACAUACUUUGAAAUGGAUAUUAAUAAAAAUGUUUUGUAUGUCAUGGUUCAAAAAAUGAUUACAAGUUAACAAACCAAAUGGUCAAACCUCAUGUAUUAGAACAUAUUAUUAUCUAUAUAUGCAUACAUUUGAAGCAACAUUUUUCAUCCUAGGCAGCAUAUGGAUAUAUCAUAUAGAUUAUAUGUUAUUAUUUUAUUCAAAUUAAUUAUUAUAGCAAGGCAGCAACCAUCACACAUCGUAAAUGGAUAAAAACACCGUUUUCAUGCCUCAAUUAUUUGGCAAACGAGUGAUGCAUACUAGUAUAGAUAGGAUGACAGAAAUAGACUGAACUUUCAAAUUGUAUGAACUCAUCAAGUUGCUCAUUGAAACUUAAUAAUUUGACAAAAGUGUCUUUAAUUUAAAAUUAUAAUUAUUUUUAGGUGUAAAAUUAUAAAAUGUUGGUUAUAUAUUAUUCCAAACGGUACAUUGUUUUAGUAAAUAUUUUGAAUUAAUUUUUAAAGUUUUGAAUGUCAAACAAGUCGCCGUACUUAUAUGAAUCCUAGCUAUUAUGGUAUGUUAUUUCUUUAUAUUUAAUUUAAUUAUUUUAAAGCAAAUUUAAAUUUUGAAUUAAUAGAAACCCAACUUUUUGUAUGUAUUGAUCAAUUUUCUUGCCAAAAAGCCUAUAUUAAGAAAUGAAAGGAGUACCACAAUUAUGUUUUCUUUGUUGAUAGAAUAUUUAUAAUUGGAAGAAAGAAAGUUUAUGUUUUAAUGAGAAGGUUUAUAAUUCAAACAAAAAUAUGGUUGGUUGGGAGUAAAGUUAGGAGACAAAUAAUUUGAAGAGUUUUUUGUAAGAUAUGUAAGUACAUUGUCACUAUCUAGGUAAAUAAUUUGGAUCAUAUUUAUACAUAUGAAGUUGGUUAAAAGACAAGGACCGUGUGUAUAAUUAAGGUAUGCAGGUGUACGAAUUCUUAACUUAUUUUGUUUGUUUAUGUAUAGGCAUUAUCAAAUGGUAGAUACAAGAGUUGCUUGCAUAGGGCAGUGGUUAAUAGGUACAAAGAGAGGAGGUCCUUAGCAUUCUUUCUGUGCCCAAAAGAAGACAAAAUGGUGAGACCCUCACAAGAUAUUGUGAGUAGAGAUGGGACAAAACAAUAUCCUGAUUUCACAUGGUCACAAUUGCUUCAAUUCACACAAAAUCACUACAGAGCUGACGAAGCUACACUGCAAAAUUUCACCAAGUGGUUACUAUCUUCCAAAAUUACAAACACUUUACCUUGAUUAACCAACAAAUUUUACUUAUUUAGAGGUUUAAAUGCAUUCCUUGUCGCCUUAAUUAUUGUUAGCAAGCUCCAUGUAUUCAUGAAUUAAUUGAACAUGGAGUUCCUCUUUAUGUAAUUGGAUUUCAUUUCUUACGGCACAUUAAGAUUAUAAAAUUCAAAAAUUGGAAGGAACUUUACGAUAUGCCGUGCUCAAAAUCGAGUAUUUUUUAGGUCAAAGAUGGGAUUCUAUCUUUUUUUUUUUCCUUAGUCUCUCCUCCGUUUAUAAUGUUCAUUCUAGACAACAUGAUGAUGAGCUUAGUAUAUAGAUAUCGGCCAAGCAUCCUUUGAUGGCUAUAACUAACUCGGCCAACAAAAGAUUUUAGUCCUCUAAACCUAGUAUGAUAUCUAUUCAAUAUUUUAUAAGGGUGUCCAAACAUGAGCUUAUAAGGGUGAAAUGCUUAGAAUAAUAAGUUCGGUUAUAAUUUGUAUUAUUUUUUUGGACCUGAUAACCGGGACUCCGAGACACUGGUUAAACAUACCAUAAAAGGGAAUUAUUACUAUAAAAGGAAACUGUUUUUGACUUUAUUAUAAAUUAAUUACACAAUUUCAAUGCAUUAACUACUAUAUAAUUUCCUUUUUAUAUUCUUAACCAGUGCCUCGGGGGCACCAGUUAACAUUUCUUUUUUUUUUUUUUUUUUUUUGUUAUAUCACUUUUGUAAUGGAGUUGGCUGACUCAACUUAAUGAAAAAAGUAUUCGAGUUGGCUGAGUCAACAAUGAUUAUAGCAUCAAGUUUUGAUUAUUUAGCAACUUAAUUAGAGUUUAAUCUGCUAGGUGAGAGUAGCCAUAAGUUAGAGAAAAAAGAUAAAAUUUAUCUCUAGUUUUAAUGUUAUAUAAGUGUUAGGGGCAAUAAAAUAAAUACAAAUUGUAUUUGUUUUAAAAUUUGAAUCAUCUCCCAUGAUACGAUGGUGUAUCAUUUUUUUUAUUUAGGACAACAUAUGCAACAUUUUUUUUAUACAUAAACAUUUUUGUUGCACUGCUAACUUUUAGAGAUAAUGCAGUUAUCCAUUCAUUUCAAUAUUUUUCAUAUAAAAUUGAUUAAUUUUUUUUUUUGGUAAUAUCGAGUAGGUUAUUAAUUUUUACCUUAUAUAUCAUCAAGCAUACAUUAUCAGCAAUAUGGACAUCAACACCUCGACCAUCAAUGGUGGUGAACUACUAAUGAGAAGGGGUAUCACAAGAUUAAUGUUCAUAUCCUUUGAAAUGUGAUCUAAACUUUACCUUGAAUCUUAUUUAUAAUGAAUUAGGUCUUUACCUAUGUUGUUUGUCAUUUUUCCUGCAUAGCCCACCGAGCAAGUGGUAAGUUGUUGUCGAUGUCUCCUCCAUCCAAGAUUAAGUCUCCAACAUUGAUUAAUUAAAUUCAUUUUCGUACCUUCUAUUUUAGAUUGCUUGGUAGAACUAACAUGUGUUGUGAAAGAUGUGGCCAUAACAAGUAAAAUAAGGCACCAAAAGACAGUUGUUUGCUUGAUGACAAACCAUGGUUCAAUAUACUUGUUUUUUAUUUAAUUAUAAUAACAAUUGAAUUAUUUAGAAGAGAGGGAUAGUAAGGAGGAGAAGGUUUCCGUUGUUUUUAUAUCAGAAAAUAACAGUUUGAGCAAGGUGGAAUAUAAGUUCAAGUUGUUGGAGAUUGUUUGGGGUUAAGAAGUUUGUUCAAGUUGUUGUGUCAAGCUUUGGCUAAGGAGCUCGCUCGUCUAAGAAGAAAACUAAUAAUAGAAAGAAUGAGAGUUAGUUUGUUUUAAAUCCUUGACUUAGCGUGUGUUUGGUUCUGUGGCGGUGAAAAUUGAUUUUGAUUGAAUUAAUUUUGUAGAAUUGAUUUUGAUCAAAAGUGAGUUAAGAGUAAAGUGAUUUAUGUUGGAAUGCUUCAUAGUAGAAGUGAUUUAUAUAAAAGAUGUUGUUUGGAUAUUUUGUGUCAAAAUUGCUUUUGGAUAUGUAAAUUAUCAAAAUGGAUUUUAACAUGUUUUAUAUAGAUAUUAAAUUUCAUUUUCUCCUUUAUUAGUUUAUUUUAUCCUUUAUUUAUUUUUGAUUAAAUUGAUGAUAAAAAUAUUAAAUUAGCAAACUAGCACAGACAAAUUAAUAUUAAAUUGAUGAAAAACAUAAAUAUUAAAAGGUAAUAACAUAGUGUCAAUUAAAAAAAAAACAAAAUAUAGCAUAACGUUUUUUUUUUAAAUGGAGACGUUGGUACACCAGUUUGUUAAGCAUAUUUGCACACACAUAUUUGCUAUUAUUUUAUUGCUUAUAAAAAAUAAUCAGGUGGCAUGCGUUUAAAAUCCCAUUUCCAAUACAAAUUACUAAUAAUAUAAGGCUAUAAUUAAAAAAAAAACAUAGGGAAUGGUAGUUAGGUAAUUGGGCAACUUGAACUAUCAAAAUCGAUUUACAUUGCCUUAGAAGCUCAUAUUUGUAGCUUCAAUUGGAAUUGAGUUUGGACCCAAGAAUUGAUUUAUAAAAAAAACAUCCAAACACUUGUUUAUCAAUAUAAACUCACUUUUAGGUUUUGUAACAUACGUUUUGUAAAUUUCACCGUGCAACCAAACACCUACUUUUUUUUUUUUGAGCAAACCAAAUACCUACUUAAAUCGUGACAAUCUAACAAUAAGUUAAAUUUGAUCAAUAACUAAAAAAAAUCAAAAGCGAUAAAUAUUACAAAUGAGUUUAAAUAAACAAAAGACUGUCUAUCAAUUUUAUUGUUAUUGUAUUUGUCAAUAUAUGAAUGCUUAAUUUAUUUACGAUGAUUGAUGGAGCUAAUUUGUGUAGUUUAAAACUUAUUGAUUUCAAUCUAUCGCAUAAAUAUACUCUUUUUUUUUUUGUUGACAGAGACAUAAUAUUUGCUUAAAGUGUGUAAUUUUUUUAACUAGUUUAUUAAUUAAAUCUACAUGCCUAUGCAUGCUAAACUUUUUUUUAAGUAAGCUUAAUUGAAACUUGCUUUAUAAGUACUCCACCAAAUGGACAUGUGCACGAAAAUCUCAACACCAUAUCUAUGGUUUAAUAGCUUGAACAAAUUCAAAGUAAAGAGAGGGUUUUUCAAUUUUUCUUUCUAGUGCAAAAGAAUAAUAGACAAAACUUAUUCCGUAAAAUAUUUUGGAUUAAUCAAGUUUUUGGUCCCUAUAAAUAUCUGCAGUUUUAUUUUUAAUCCCUAUAAAAAUAAAUCACACUUUUUAGUCCCUACAAAAUUUUCUGUUAGUGUUUUUAGUCCCGGUUAAAUUAAAAUUUGUUUAAUUAUGCUUAAACUUCUAAAUUUUUAAAAGAUUUUUUACAUACAUGUUCAUAACAUCGUAAGACACUCUUUUAUAAUUUUUUUUAGUUUUUUAACAUGUAAUGAAUUAAAUACGAGUUUUUCUAAAAACCAAUUUUUUCAAGAUUAUAUUAAUGAAAAUUUGGACCUAAUAAUAAAAUUUUAAGUUACUUUUUUUGCGGAGGAACUUUGUAUAAUAUUCUAAGUAUGUAUGUGAAAAAUAUGUUACAAAUUUAAAAGUUUAAGCACAAUUGAGCAAAUUUUUAUUUUACAAGGACUAAAAAUAUGUGUUGGUCCCUAUUAAAUUGAAAUUUGUUUAAUUAUACUUAAACUUUUAUAUUUUUAAAUUAUUUUUAACAGACAUGUUAAGAACAUUAUAAUAAUCUCUUUUAUAAAAAAUUAGAAUUAUUUAACAUGUAAUGAAUUAAAUAUAGUUUUUUUAAAACGCCAAAAAUUCAAGAUAAAACUAACGAAAAUAAAAUUUUGAGCUAAUUUAUUGUGGCAGAACCUUUUAUAAUGUUUUAAACAAGUAUGUAAAAAAUCAUUAAAAAAUUUAAAAUUUUAAGCAUAAUUAAACAAAUUUUAAUUUAAAAGGGACUAAAAACACUAAUGGAAAAUUUUGUAGGGACUAAAAAGUGUGAUUUAUUUUUAUAGAGACUAAAAACAAAACUGCAGAUAUUUAUAGGAAUCAAAAACUUAAUUAACCCAAAUAUUUUUGAUCGAUAAGAGUGUCCAAUUCAUUCAAAGAAUUCUCUCCCUCAAAAAAAAAAAAAAAACUCAAUUCAAAGAAUUCUAAAGUAUUUUAAAGAGAUUCAUAAUCACAGUUAUCCCUAUUAUAUUCAAUUUAUCUAAAAUGAUGAGAAAGAAUAAAACUUAGUGUAACUAUAGCUUUUUCAUAAUCACAUUAACUAUAGCUUUUUCGUCUAAUUUGAACUUGGAAAGUGGAAUAUUGCAAAAAGAUUGGCCUAAAUUAGUCUACCAUAUAUAACUCUACUCUAUACCCAGUAAAUUUCUUCUACUUCAUAUAUUUACGAGAUACUUGAUUAAUCACGUGCAAAAUUAUAAUUAAUGCAAUUGAGUAGAUGGUUAAUUUAAUUUAUGUUGAAAGUUAUGAUUAUACGAUGCAAUUGAAUUAACCACAAUUAUGAUCAUGAAUUGAAUUACACAUCUACUCAACCAAGCUAACCACAUUUUUUUUUUUUUUAACUUGUUAAGCAAGUGUCGCACAUGCGUACAAAAAGUGAGUGUUUGUGUUAUUUGGCAGAAUAUUUGUAUUUGGGAUUAUGCAGAAUAUAUAUUCACUGUUGAUAGUACCAUUCUCCAGGGUCCUUCACGGAACAAAGGUGGAGAACUAAUUCUUGAUUUGUACAGAACAUAAACCAUUUUCCAACAUUUGGAAAGAAGAAAAGACCACUGGUUACUGCUUUGCUUAGUGAAAUAUUCGGAUGCAGUACCUUUUUAAAAUAUGUGUAUCUUUCCAUAAUUAAUUUUAGGAAAGGGGUUCUGAUAAUCCGAAGUUUGACCGUGAUAUAAUGAAACAUUUUAAUCAACCACACACCAUUCAAAGAUUCAUUUAUGAAACAUCUUUUUAACUGCAAUAAUAUAAGCUAAAACACAACAUGCCAAAUAAAAGAUGUACCAAGCAUUUGUUCCAUGUCACACCUCUCCAAUUAGUGCAUGCAUGCAUCUGAUUCUUUCUACCCUUGCUGCCCCCUAAUAUGCUUCAAUCAUGAUAAGUUCAACUUUUUGAAAAACUAAUUAGUAAGUACAGCAUAGCAAAUUCAUCUCUAUCUCAGCCAUCACCUUGUUGAAUGAAUAUUUAUUCAUGUAGCAUGCUUUAAUUUAUUCUCUCUUUGAUGUAUUGUCACAAUUGUUGACGGAAUUUGAUACAGUAUUUUUCAAAGACAACAUUUAUCUUGAAUAAGAAUAUAAUCCAUAUUCAUGUUGAUUUUUUGUAAAGUAGAAAUAGCAUAUGAUUCUUUACAAUCAAUUUGAAUCUUUUUGUCUCUUAGAUAUUUAGAGGGAUCGUGGAGGCAUAUGGUUCAUAUAUGCCAAGUUCUAAUAUCAUUGUAUUUGUUCCUAUAUAAGGAGAAAGUUUAGGUAGAUUUUUAAUUGUAAGAUUUUGAUCUACAACAAAAGAGAUAAAGAGAGUUUAAGAAGUGAUAUGGGAGAGUAUGGUUAUGCAUACCGUAGCAUCUCGACUUACAGUACCAUAAGAAAUGGAAUACGUGAGCCUGCUGUUAUAAAACCAUUUGUUCCUUUCAAUCCCAAAAGUAAUAAUGGUAGUAAUUACUCAGAGGGUGCUGUUAACAGUAAAAAAAUUGUACCAGUUACUGGCAGGCCUUAUGAUGAGCCUGCAACAGAGAAAUAUCCCUCUUCAGAGGAUGAAUUUGAUGAUGAUGAAAGGCGUCGUCAAUUAAGCCCUGUUCAUAGCUCUCCGCGUAAAGUUGAUGUUCAGUUCCCAGCUAAGGUGCAGCAGAAUCAUGAAGGUAGCCAUGAUCCUCAAAGGUACGGGCCCAUUGUUGAUCGCGGUCGCCAUACACCACAGCCUAGUGCUGAUGGACGUAAGCCAAUUGGAGGUAGUACCGUUAACAACCAUAAUGAUAGUUAUGGUACUAAUUAUCCAUAUGGUGGUGACAGAGACGGACGCAAGCCAAUUGGAAUUAGUCCAAUUAAGAAUCGCAAAUAUGGUGGUGGUCCUAAUGGUUAUGGUGGUGCUCAUCGUGCAACAGCUAUAGGGGAUCCAAGUCCACAUAAAGACAGGCGUAAACCAAUUGGAGGUGGCAUAAUGAGUAGUGAUGAUGGCUAUAAUAAUGGAUAUGGUGGUGACAAAGAUGGACGCAGGCCGAUUGGAAUUAGUCCAGUAAAGAAUGAUAAAUAUGAUGGUACUAAUGGCUACGGCAGUGAUCACCGUGCAACACCUGUUGGGGAUCCAAAUCCCUACAAAGAAGGUCGUAAACCAAUUGGAGGUGGCAACCUAAGGAGUACUCAUGAUGGCUAUCAUGAUAACGGAUACGGUGGUGACAAAGGACACAAGCCAAUUGGAAUUAGUCCAACUAGGAGUAACAAUUAUGAUGGUCCUAAUGGGUUUGGCGGUGACCAUCGUGCAACAAGUGUGGGGGAUCCAAAUCCCUACCAAGAAGGCCGUAAACCAAUUGGAGGUGGCAACCUAAGGAGUACUCAUGAUGGCUAUCAUGAUAAUGGAUACGGUGGUGACAAAGAAGGACGCAAGCCAGUUGGAAUUAGUCCAACUGGGAAUAGCAAUUAUGAUGGUCCUAAUCGGUAUAGUGGUGACCAUCGUGCAACAAGUGUAGGAGAUCCAAAUCCCUACAAAGAAGGGCGUAAACCAAUCGGAGUAGUUAGCCUAAAGAGUACUCAUGAUGGCUACAAUAACGGUAAAGGAUAUGGUGGUGACACAGAAGUACGCAAGCCUAUUGGAAUUGGAAGUAAUAUUAAGAAUGACAACUAUGAUGGUCCUCAUAGGUAUGGUGGUGACCACCGUGCAGCAGCCGUUGGAGAUCCAAAUCCUUAUAAAGAAGGACGCAAACCAAUUGGAGUAGGUAGCAUAAGGAGUACUCAAGAUGGCUAUGAUAGCCCUAAUGGAUAUGGCAGUGACUACAACAAAAAAGAAGGAUACAAGCCCACUAGGAACGGCAACUAUGGUAACGGCUAUGGUAUUAGUAACCACAACGAUAAGCCGUUUGUAAGUAGUAGCAAUCCUAAAUAUGAUGAUGGUGAUAACGCUGCUAAUUAUUACAACAACAGAUCCAAUUUCAAUGGGCCAAAAAUUAAUUCAUAUUGGACUGCAGCACCAAGAAAAGGGACUCAAUUAAGCGAGCCAAUUCAUGACAUUGACAAGGCCAUGGAGUUGUUGAAGAUGGAAGCUGCAAAGCGUGAUCAACAACAUAGUCCAACUCCAGGUAAUGCCUCUCCUCGCUUUACUGACAGGACUGGUUCCGGUGCUGCCAUGAGGCCUUAUGGAAAUGUUAACCAGCUUCAGUCACGACCACGUGAUUCACAAACACGUGUCACGUUCAUUGAUGAUGCAAGUGAUUACGAUGAUGAUUAUUAUAGGAGGGAUGAUAGAGGACGUUAUGGAUUCCAUGAUGCAGUUAUUGACAGUAGGGAGGCUGAGAAGAAGUUCAAAGGCACCAGGGUCUGAAAAUUAAUUAGCUACCUUGCUAGAUAGUAUGAAUUAUAUGGAGUUAUUUUCCAUCAAUAAUAACACUUUUCACGUUUCAGGUCAUCAAGUUUUAGUUAUAUAUGAUUAUGGAACUAGUGUAUGGAACUAUGUAUCAUGGCAUAGGCACCUAUAUGGUUCCCUACCUUUCUGUACUGGUUAAAGAGUAAAAAAAUAUGUGGUGUGUAAGGGUUGAAUGAAUGAAUAAAUACGUGGAGUGUUUAUUAAGUAACGCCCCUUUUUCUUUUUCAAUUAGUGGCUGGUCAUUCAUGCCUACAUUAAAAUGGUUCCACUCUAAUCAGAAGUUAUAUACUUCCAAUUCUAGAGAAUAUCUUUCAGUCCAUUUUUUUAUGAUUAUGUGCUGCAAGAUGUUAUGUUCAUUAUCAAUGUAUAUAAUACUUAUCAAACGUUGUAGGGAAAAUUUAGAAAAUGAGCUCGCAUUUAAAUUAGUUGAGAAAACAAUCUUACAGUAAUGGUUAUGAGUUGACAACAAAUAUACAUGUGACAAUUUCAUUGAUGCAUAAAACAAAGUUAUUAAAUAUGUAAAUGAUCC